CAGGAGUAUUCUGCUUCCAUUAUUACAGUCUGGGAAACAUUGUUUUAUAUCAUCCCAAGCUUCUGUAGUCCAUAUGUCAUCAAUGACUACCAAGUAUCUCCUGCCUUUCAGAUUCUUUUGCAGUCGGUCCGCUAGCUGAUCAUCAGGUUCAUUACUUAUCGAAGAAAGAAGGCCUAGGAUUACAUUUCUCACACAAUACUCUUGUGAAACAGUUGCUUUUGCACGAAUAUCAAAUCGAGACAUAAUGUAAGGAUCACUAUAGAGUUUUGUAGCCAAAGUUGUUUUCCCGAUACCUCCCAUCCCUACGAUUGAGACAACUUCUAGUUCCCUUCCUCCUCUAGCAAGUUGAUCCAGCAUCAUCUCAAAUUCAUUUUCACGGCCAACCAUUAUAUUCUCGGGCUGCUCAACAUCAUGUUCAGGUAAACUGACAAGUGAGCUAGUUUGUGGUUUUAGAUCUUUCAUGCUGUCCGAUGCUGCCAUCCACUGUUUCACGGUGGAAUCAAUGCAUUCUAGUGCUUGUUCCAAGACGAAAAAAAUCUCCCACAUAGCCCUGCUUCUUUCCUCCAAAUUCUGUGCUAAAAAAACAUUUCUUGAUUCCGAGUCAACCAUAUCUUCUGUUGUGUAUGCUACCUCUACGAUUUCAACUUCCAAGAUUGUUAACUCCUCAUGAUCGCCCGUUAUAUUGCAGGAAUUCUCCAGAAUAGUUCUUAAAGAUUCGAGCUUUUCAUAAAACGGUUGCAAAUCACAUCCAGUAAGUUCCAUUGAUUGAUGUAUGGUUCUCAUAAGGGAAGUAACAGCAGCAUAAGCCAUAUAUCCAAAAAAUAGAAAUAUCUCUCAGUAUGAAAAUGGACAAAUUGCCACAAGUCAUGUAAUUUUUCAGUUUUUAAGAAAACAGAAAAUGCAAACUUCUUUCUUUUACUAGGCUAUUUCCAUCACAUUUCCAGCUAGGUCCACCAACCUUAUCAUCAUGUAGACAAAAGCAGAGACCAAAGUUUAAAAAAAGAAAAAGAAAAAAAGACAGGAUUCUAACUGGAAAAAGUUGAAAAAAUUGUGACCAUUCAUUAUUAUACCUUACACUUAUCUAUUCAUGAAUAUAAGUAGGGAAAAGGGCCUCAUUUACCCUGAACUUUAUGAUUUGGAGCUGAUAUACCCUUCGUUUAAAAAAUGGCCCAUAUAUGCCCCUGCCGUUAUAGAAAUGGCUCAUAUAUGCCCUUUUACUUAACAGACCAAUAUUUAAUAAAUUAAAAAUUCAUUUUUUUAUGCUUUAAUUUGAGAAAAUGCCACGUGGCUCUUAAAAUACCCCACCCAAUAACUUUUCAGCAACCCGACCCAAUGGAAACAAGAAAACCCCAUCCACUUAAAUAAACCUAGCCCAUUUCAUUCUAUGGUCUCCACUCUCCACGCUUGACAUGAAAAAAAAUCAAAAACUUGUUAGGGUUUCAGUGAGCUCUAAACUGGUGUCAAUCAAUCUCAAUAAUGUUCAAAAUCUUAGGUAAGUUUCGAUUAUUUUCUUCCCUUACUUUUAAGGAUCUUUGGUGUUAAAAAUAUAGGAUAAUAUGUGAGAAAAGUGUAACUGAGUUUACCUAUGUGCUUUUUUCCCUUGACAUUCUGUCCAUGGAAGGUUUAUUUUCUUACUUUAAUACAUGAGUUUAUCUCUUUGUAUGCAGAGAUGGAAUCUUUGUUGGUCCCCAAAUAGUUAUUGUCUCUUUAGUAUUUUAAAAUUCAUUUUUCAAUUGGUUGGUGUUAAAUGCUAAGGUGGUCCCUUAUGUCUAAUUUAUUUGCUUGUUGCAGGUGUCAUUUUGAAGGAUGAUUAAAGAAGUGGAUAUUGUUUUCAACUAUGGGGGCAAUAGGGUAAUUUCCCCAAAGCUGGGAUACAAUAUAAAAUUUCAGCACACCUGGUAUUAUAAUACUUGUUUAGUUUGUUAUGAUGAUUUGUGUGAAGCUUUUACUUCCAAAUUUGGAUUUAAGGAAGUUCAACAAUUGUUGGUCACUGGUCCAUCUGGUACUUAUUAUGUAAUUGAAGAUAAUGAUGGAAUUAAGACUCUUCAAUACUUAUUUUCAGAAGAUUUCAAGGUAAUAGAUUUUUAUGUUGUAGAUGCUCAUGAAUUGAGAGUUUCUGCCACAAAUAUCAUAUAUCAUACUGAAUCAUAUUUUGUGGAUGUUGAAGCUGCUACUGAUUGUGAUUAUAGUGAUGUGGAGGAUGAUACUCUUUAUGAAAUGGGCAACAGUUGUGAAAUUGUUGAAUAUAAUGUUGAAGUGCUUCAACGUUAUGAACAUGAAAAAGAGAGAGUUGUGAGUGAUGGACUUGAAAAGUUUAAGGAAUUAGAAAUGGGUAUGACCUUUAAGACUAUUGAAGAACCUAGGCAGGUUGUUAGCUUUUAUGCUAUGGCUAACAAAAGAAGUUGAAAACAAAAAAAAGUGAUACAAAAAGAAUUAGGUAUGAGUGUUAUGAUGGUUGUCCCUUUUACUCUUCUCAUAUCUAAGGAUGGAAAAUCAGCAACAUUUAAGGUUAAAACAUUGAUGCCUAAGCAUACUUGUGGUGAUUCUUUUGUUAAUCCAUUGGAAACUUAUCAUACCUUGGCUGUUUAUUUUAAGGAUGAAGUUCUAAACAAUCCAAAAUACCCUAUCAAAGACAUGAGAGGAAUUCUUGAAAAAAAAUUCAAGUUGAAUGUCUUAAGAUCCAAACUAAAAAGAGCCAAAACAAUGGCUCUUGAUAAGUUGGAAGGCAGUUUCAAAGAUGACUACAAUAGGCUUGAAGCUUAUGGUCAAGAACUUAGACAAUCAAAACCAGGAUCUGAUGUGGUAAUUAAUAUCUCUAAAGAUGCACUUGAACAAGGCAUAAGAAGGUUUUUGAGAAUGUACAUUUGCUUCAAGGCUUUGAAGGAUGGAUGGAAAAGUUUGAGACCUAUAAUUGGUUUAGAUGGAACAUUUCUCAAAGGAAAAUGCAAGGGGCAACUAUUAGUAGUUGUUGGGCAAGACUCAAUGAAUCAUUUUUACCCAAUAGCUUGGGCAGUGGUGGAAAAGGAAAACACAGGAACAUGGACAUGGUUUAUUCAGUUGUUGAGGAUUUCGUUGGAGUUGAAAAAUGGUGAAAUUGUGACAUUUAUGUCUGAUAUGCAAAAGGUAGCUUUAAAUUUAUUUUUUUCUUAUUGCCUUUUCUUUAUCUUUUUUCUUACUGUCAUUUUUUUCUUUUCGAUUUUUAGGGCCUGUUCGAUGUUGUAGCUAAUGUUGUUCCAGAAGCACACCAUAGGCUUUGUGUGAGGCAUAUAGAAUCUAACUGGUGCAAGAAAUGGCGGAGUGGUGAAGAGAAAAAAUUGAUGUGGUGGUGUGCAUGGAGUACCUAUGAAGAAGAAUUCAAAGACACUUUGAAGGUGUUAGGAAAGGUGGAUGAAGAUUCAGCUAGUGAUCUUCUUCAUUUUCCUGUAAUUAAAUGGUGUAGGGCAUAUUUUGAUACUCAAUGUAAGAAUCUAAUGGUAGACAAUAACUUCACCGAGUCUUUUAACAGUUGGAUACUUGAAGCUAGAAAAAACCAAUCAUUAAAAUGUUGGAGGAAAUUAGAGUGAAGGUGAUGAAUAUGUUGGUGAAAAAUGAAAAAAUGGGCAGAAAAUGGCAAAAUGAUAUCAGUCCAACGGUUAUGAAAUUGUACAAUGACUAUCGAUUAAUGGCUACCAAUGGUACAGUUGAGUUCAAUGGAGAUUAUGGUUAUGAAGUGAAAGAUGGAGACACGGACACACAUACAGUGAAUUUGGAGUUGAAGAAAUGCAUUUGUAGAUUAUGGGACUUGGGUGGAAUACCGUGUCACCAUACCAUCAAGGCAAUUUUGCAUAAAAAAACUGAACCAUUGGAAGAGGUUCAUUACUGCUAUAAAAAGAGGCUUAUUUGUUAACAUACAAGCACAAGUUGCAACCAGUUAGGGGUUCUCAAUUCUGGAAAAUCGACCAUGCUCAAGCAAUGGAACCUCCGAAAAUGGUAAAACUUGUUGGCAGACCCAAGAUGAAAAGAAAUAAAGAAACUGAUGAGGCAAGUUUGAGAAAGGGGGCAUGGAAGCAGUCAAGAAAAGGAACUCUAAUGAGAUGCAACAAAUGUGGUGAUUUCAAUCACAAUGCUAAGGGAUGUUAUAAGGUAAUCUCUCUUAAUAUUUUCUUUUAGUUAAAAGGUGUUCAUUUUUGUCAAUCACAACAAUUUUUUUGGGUUGAAGGACCAUGAAGACGGUGAAAGUUAGCAUGAAAGAAAUAAGAAAGCAAGCAAUCAAAAGUCGAGGAGUUGAGCAAGAAAAAACUCUAUUGUAGAGUAUGAGACAGAAGCUUCACCCCAACAAUUUCAGACAAAACAGUCGACUGCCUAUGGUCCUAAGAUCGGGAAUGAUGAAGAUCCAGCAUUGCGACCAAUGGUAAUUUUUGAGACAGAAACAAGGAUGGAAAAGAGGUCUCGAAUAUUUGAAGGAAUAGGAAGCAGGAAGAUUGUUUUUUAAGGGGAUGCAAGAGGAAUCUCGACCCCUUCGGAUCUACCAUAUUCACCAAAGAAGACUACUUGAAAGGGCAAGAAAGCAGUCACAAUUGAUCAGUUACAAGCUGAAGUAAAGAAGAAAAGAGUGAAACAAAUGGCAAUGAAGGGCAAAUGGCCCGUGGAUACUAAUGAUGAUCUAGUUUAGAAGUCGUUGUGUGGUUGAUCAUUUUUUGACAUUAGGUGGUUAUUUUGGAUAGUAUUAUAUGAUGUAAAUCCAAACAAUUUCUUUUGUUGCUAACCAUAUAAUAGAUAUUUGUGGUUGGUUUAACCACCAGAAGGUUAAUCUUCUUUUGCUGGUAACUUGUGUUAAGAUAAUUUUAUAAAAAUUGAGAAUUAUAUUCUACUGCAUCUGGUGUAAUUAUUGUUGAUUGUAUUUUGUGUGAGAGAGUAAAUUUAUGUGCUUUGAUUGGUAGCGUUGUUUAAAUUACGACUAAAAUUAGCAUUGUUCACGAUCUUCUUUGAACUAGUAGAUAGCUCACAGAUGAUUCAACGUGGAAUGUCAAGGAGUCAUUGAUGAUUCUCUAUCAUUUUACCUCGAGCUUUUGAUUCUCUUUCAUUACUAAAUAAUACAAAAGUUGACAAAAUCACUACACAAGACCAAAUAAGGUGAAUCAAAAGUUGUCAUAAAUCAAUACAAUGAACCAAAAGUUAAUUACACAUAAGUCACAAAACUGCAAAUGAGAUGAAAAAGUUUAGUCGCAUAAUAUGGCCUUGGAAUCUAUCAUUUAAAUUCCCAGAAAAGAUAUGAUCCUACAAAGUACUACUAUAUUUCCAAAUUUUACAAACUUUUUGCCUCAGUGAGUGAAGAAAAGAACCCAACUAAGCAACUGAAUGUAAAAUAACUUCAAACUUUUCUCUCGAAUUUUAAGAUUUCAUAAACGCAAUGACUCCGUCCACAGUUCGUUCGCGAACACUCUGAAUAUGUGGUGUGACGGCCAAUAAAACUUCAGCAGACUCUUGAUUUUCACUUGUAGCUGCAAGAUGUAUUAGCAUGUAAUUAUCACUGACAGUAUCCCCUGCCUUUACCACACAACGAAAGAAUGAACUGCCGCAACUGCUAGCAGAGGACACAUAUUAUCAUCUCCUAUUUGAGCAUCAAAAUUAGCAUGGUGUUUUAGCAAAACCGUAAUAGCAUCUUCCUGGCUGCGGUCUACAACGCAUAUUAAUGGUGUUCCAACAUCAACAUCACUUCGCAAAUCAACGUCUACACCUAUCGGUAGAAACAAUUUAACCAAUUCAAUAUGCCCAUUUCCUGCAUCAUUAAAUGGACAAAAUAAAACACAUAAGAAUAUCACUUCAAGCAAAGAAUAUCAAGAACAAAUUUACCCUAUAACUCUAACACCAAAGGUCCUUAAAAGAAAAGGGAAGAAAGUAAUCGAAACUUACAUAAGAUUUUGAACAAUAUUGAGACUGAUUGACGCCAAUUUAGAGCUCACCGAAACCUACCAACAUUUUGAUUUUUUUUCUUGUUGAGCGUGGAGAGUGGAGACCAUAGAAUUAAAUGGGUUAAAGUUUAUUUAAGUGGGUGGGGUUUUCUUGUUUUCAAUUGGGUCGGGUUGGUGAAAAGUUAUUGGGUGGGGUAUUUUAAGAGCGAUGUGGCAUUUUCUCAAAUUAAAGCAUAAAAAAAUGAAAUUUAAUUUAUUAAAUAUUGGUCUGUUAAAUAAAAGGGCAUAUAUGGGCCAUUUCUAUAACGGCAGGGACAUAUAUGAGCCAUUUUUUAAACGGAGGGUAUAUCAGCUCCAAAUCAUAAAGUUGAGGGGUAAAUCAGGCCCUUUUCCCAUAUAAGUAUGUUUCUUACAUACAAGAGAUUGAUGAUUUUAAUUCCAUUGAAAGCUACUUAGUAGAAUUUUCCAAAUCAAAGAGAGAGAAAUAUUAAGAUCCAAGUAGGAAUUUCUCUAUUCCUAGUUCGAUUCAAUUAACCAAGCAUAAAUAUCUCUUAAUAUACAAGAGAAGUUUAGACUCUAAAAGUCAAAUCAACAAAAUAUUGAUGGGCUAACACAUGAAAAACUACUGAGAAAAUCGCCUAAUUCCUGUAAAUUGUCCCUUAAAUACCCAAAAUGGACUCUAAAAAUUGUUAGAAUGUACGUAUUGCUCCCCCAACUCCCUACUGAGGGUUUUGUAAAGAUUUCGAUUAGAAAUCGUCCAUAAGUCAUAUCACUAAUAUAUUAAUGGUUAACACACACGACAAACUGAGAAAAUUAUCUAAUUUCUUUAAAUUGGCCCCUAAAUGCCUAAAAUGGACUCUAAAAGUUGUGAGACUGUACAUACUGCUCCCCCGACUCCCUACAGAGGGUUUCGUAAAUGUGUAGCAAAGAAAUCGUCUGAAAGUCAUAUCACUGAAAUAUUAAUGGGCUAACACAUACAAAACACUGAGAAAGUCGCCUAAUUCCUGUAAAUUGGAAUUCUAAAAUUGUGAGACUAUACGUAUUGCUCCAUUAACUCUCUAUGGAGGGUUCCGUAAAGAUUUCACAAAGAAAUUAUUCGAAAGACUUAUCACCAAAAUAUUCAUGGGCUAAUACAGACGAAUUGAGAAGAUCACCUAUUUCCUAUAAAUUAGCCGUGGGAUACCUAAAAUGGACUCUAAAAAUUGUGAGACUAACUCCCUACGAAGGGUUCCAUAUAAGUUUCGCAAAAGAAAUCAUUCAGAAAUCAUAUCACCAAAAUAUUUAUGGAUUAACACACACGAAAAAUUGAAAAAAUCGCCUAAUUCUUUUAAAUUGGCCCCUUAAUCCCUUUACGAGAUUAAUUAGAGAUGCGCGAGCGCGCGCACACACACACAUACACACACAUAUAUAUAUAUAAAGAAGAGAAGCUAGUUGUAGGGUUUGAUUGCCAUAAAAUACUUAGACAAUGUGGGUGACGCACAUUGUGAAUCUCAUGAAUUGACUCGUGGAUCAUUGUGAUAUUGGCCCAUGAAACUUAGUCUUAGGGAAAGAUUGUUGGGUGUGAGAUUGAAUUUCCACAUUUGAGAAGCUAUAUAUAAGGUGUAGGAUCUCUUAAGGGAAAAUUUCAUGUAUGGAAAACGUAUUUAAUGAAAUAACGCUCUAUAGGUAUAGUUUAGUAAUUACAUUCAAUGGGUAGUUUAGUUUGCUAUGAAGCAUUAAUUUUGUAUAUAAUGUUUUUUUUAAAAAUAAUUUAUACAAUAUUUUUUUUAAUAAAUGGAUACAUGAGCGCUAAAUACAGUAACAAAAAAUUUACAUAAUCCCAUGAUUCAAGCUAAUCGUUCAAAAUCAAAUAUUUUUCCAAAAAAGAGUUCUAUAGCAAUAGAAACACCAUAACAGCUGGUUUCCUCAAACGACUGAAGCAUACGAUUAAUCAAUAUUCUUGUAUAUUCAACACCAGGUAAGCGUUUCUUUCAAGGAAACUUCAUGUUUUGAACGGCAAGAAAGUAUACAAUUGAUUUGUAUAGUAUAUAAUUGAAAUUUUGGAAAACGGAUUAUUUUUGUUUUGUUCAUUCUAAUGGUUCGCAAUAAUUUAAUUUUGUUUAUACAAUAUUAGAUAAAUUUUAUAUUAACAAUUCAAUUCUAAUUUUUUGUUCAAAAAAUUGAAUGACACAAUUUGUAUAUAUGAAGUGUAUAUGAUUCGACAACAAUGGUGUGCUUUAAUUUGCUAAUUUUUGUUGUUGUUGUUGUUGUAAUUUUACUGUAUAAAUAAGUUAUACGAUUUGUAUAUUGUUUAAUUGGUAAUAUUGUAUAUAUGUAAGUAAUUGUAUACAAUUAUUAUACCAUAAAUAAGUGUAAGUAGUUGUAUAAAAUUACUAUGACAAUUAUAUAUAUGAAUUGUAUAUGAUUCAAUAAAAAAGGUGUGCUUUAAUUUGAUAAUUUUUGGUGUAACCUAAUGUUGACACCCAUUUUUGGACCUCCACAAUAUAUAUUAAUUCUCGAGCUUCUUAGAUUUCAAAUGAUUUGGAGUUAUUAGUUUAUAAAAUUUAAAUAUUUUUUAAAAAGAUUUUUGAAGCGAUUUAGUCGGCUUUAUAAUAUUUUAGAUAAUAGAUGGAUUUUACAUAAUUACUUAUAUAAUCAACGUGUAUUAUUAGCAUUUGGAAAUCAUCUUGAAAUAUUUUGCAUUUUUUAAAAUUAACUAUGUUAUUAAUUUAGUUUAGUAUAAAUUAAAGUUAUGAUUCUGAGUUAUUUGAAUUAGUUAGUUUAUAAUUAAAUUGUUUAUUUUAUUUUUGUUAAGAUUAAGAAGCUUGUUAAUUAAUUAAUAACAAUUCAUCUUAUUUAGACUUUGGCCGAAUUCACCAAUUAAUCCCAAUUUGGCUAAGUUUUAACUCUGAAUGGUUAUAAUCGUAAUCCAUUUAGCCCUUCUUGAUAUUGCAAUUUUAACCAUUCUCUAACCUUACCUCUAGCUUAUUUAAAUAAUCACCAAGGGGCUUUUAUCCUUGAUUACAUUUUCAGCAACACCCAAGCCCAUUUUUCCAUCAGCGUACAAUUAUUUCCAGCCAAUAAACUCCAGCAGUCCAUACCCACCCUCCAAUUCCCAUUACAGCAUACAACAAUUCCCAGUGAUUCAAACAUACACGUAGAGCAGCACCAACCGACCCCAUCCCCUUUAUUUCGCUCAUCUCCUCGUCCGUUUCAAAGUAAUAUUCUGGUGUUUGGAAGCAUCUGUUCUGUGAUUGUUCGUUGUUAUUUUUCAUAGGAUUGAUGAUGUUUUUAACGUAUUAAAUGUACACUUAAUUGUUUCCAUCAGUUAGUCCUAAUAUGGGGUCAAGUUCCGGAGAGCCAUUAAAGUUUUAUUUUGUUGUAUUUCUUUUCUUGAGCCUGCUCCUCGAACAUCGUCGAAUCUAUGUUCUUUUCGCUUUAGCAUCUUGAAUAUUGAAAGUUCCAUUCACUUUAUUACUGCUAAUGUUCUCUGUUCUUCCUUUGAGAUGAGGAAAAAUCUUCCGUACAAAUUGUAUGUUGUUGUAGCUGCUGUUCGGUAGGCAUAAGUGGUUAUUUUCUUCUUGAUUAAAUUUCAUGGCCGUCCUAUUUUGCAUUGCGAAUGUGUAACUGUUUAUUUGGUUUUUAUUCCUCCUCAUUUUCAGCAUAUUUCCAUAAUUUUGGUUGAGUGUAUUGCUUAUUCUAACUUGAAGCUAAAUGUUUAUAAUAAUUUCGUUGGUUGUCUGCUUAAAUGUGGGCUGAAUAUCAAUACUAUUCUUUCUAAAUGUUAAGUUAUACUCGUUCUUUUUGGUUUUUUUUCUUCCGAGGAUUUGCUUUCGACUAUAGUUCUGUUUCUUUUGUGCGUGUGUUUGGAGGUCGGCAUUUGGUUUUAUGCCAGCCUAGUUUUACAUAUCUCUUUUCACUUUCAUGGAAACCUUUGAUGUUAUAGCUCUACUUGUCGGAUUAGGUUUAAAAAAAUGAAAUGCAUCUUUGUUCUUCUCAAAUUUGUUCCAUGUUUUCUUGGUUUUUUAAAAAAAAUGGUAUAGCUGAUUAAAAUAGCAUUAGUUUAGCUCGAGAUUUCCUUAAUACCGUGUUGCUAUUUAUUCUAUCUCGCAUCUUAUAACUCGAUAUUAUUUGUCUUGGGUUCUUUGUGGCUUUUAUUUCGAAAGUUUUGCCUUGCUAUCGUGUCAAUUUUCGUGCUUGUUGUUUGUAGCUGCUUGAGAAAAUAUGAAUGACCACUUUAUAAAAAAAAAAAAAAAAGGAGUUAGAAUCAACAAUGGGUUGCUGUUUGAAUAAUUGACCUUCAGCUUAUUUUGCUCAAAUGUUAAGUCACGUAUGUUCCCAAACACGGUUCGUAUACAAUGGUACACGUGAUGUGUAUACACAGAUUUCUUGAAGGAAAAUGGGGGGCAAAAGCCCAAGGAAAUUUCAGCAAGUCCAAGAUUUGGGCCUAAUUUGAUAUUCCUCUCCUUGCUCUUAUUUAUUUUGUUAUAUUUGACUAACGUUUUGAUUAUCUUAUGAUUUAAUCUAAUUAAAUUUUCCAAGAAUGGUCAUUUCAUUUUAUUUUUCGAAUUAAAGUAUAUAUAUUUUAUUACUUAGUUUUUAUUUUAAUAUUUGUCUUGUUGACAUUUUAUGAACUAUUUCCCUUUAGAAAAUUCUCCUUUAGUUCAUUCCCCCUUAAGAUAAAUAAAAUGAUAAAAAUAAUAGUAAUAAAUAAAUGAGUUCAUUUACUUAGCUAAAUUUUUUUUUAAAUAAGUUAAAAUAAAUGAGUUCUUUUACUUAGUUAAAAUUUCAAAAAUUAGUCAAAGUCGUUAUGAGCUCUUUUAUACUUAGUUAAAAUUUCAAAAGUUAGUCAAAGUCAUUUUUAGUCAAAUCGUCGGUCAACCGCAAGUUAGCGGACAUUUUGAGGGCCUAACACCUUCUCGGAAUGUACAUUGAACUCGAACCCUUUUUCAAUUGAUUUUAUCUGUUUGAGUAUUUUGAAAAUCUUAAGUUUUUUCUUGAGUUUUACUAAAAAAAUUAAGUGGCGACUCUAUUCUUUUGGAAAUCGAUUUCUCUUAAACUACAAGUUUAAUCGAUUUUUUCGAAAUCCUAGUCAUUUUUCUUUUAUAUAUAUUUUCGAGUAAAACACCUAACUGUAUAUAUAAUAAUGUAAGGUUUGUAUAUUGUUUAAUUCAUACUAUUGUAUAUAACUUACAAAAUAUACAAAUAUAUAUAUAUAAUACAAUUAUGAUUUAAGCAAAAAAUAUACAUAUACUUCAAGCAAUUUUGUAUAUAACUAACAAAAUAUACAAAUAUCUAAAUACAAUUGUGAUUUAAGCAGAAAAUAUACAUAUAUUUCAAACAAUUUUGUAUAUAACUAACAAAAUAUACAAAUAUCUACAUACAAUUGUGUUUUAAGCAAAUAUUUGAUGUUCUUGAUCUAAUGAAGGAGACACAACCUCCUCAGAAUCACUAUCUUUGGCUUUCCUCGUACUUCCUCCUUCAACAACUUUAAUGUCGCUUGCCUUAACAUUGUUGAUGACUUCUGGGAGUGCAAUUGGGUCAUUUUUUUUCUUGGAUCUCAAUUCUUCAAUAGAUUUUUCCUGUAGAAUUUGUUUAGAUUUUUCCAUAGACCCUGCAUUGACUCCAAAAUCUUGAGUUAAACCGAGUGAAAAUGAAGGUUGAUUAUUAAAAACUUUGACAUGCAAUGACGUACCUCUCGCAAUCCUCUUAGAUGGAGUCGAAUCAUCCAUUUUAUUUUUUGUAAAAAUGAUAUAUAAUAAGUAAUGAGGGAAUUUUGAGAAAAAAUUAUCCAAACACUAACAUGCACAAUACAUAUACAAUUGAAAAAUGAAAAAGAAAAAAAGAAAAGAGGUUCACCUACGAUUUAUGCGGUUACCUGCAAAAAGUAAAACACGAUUGGAGGGAGAAAGUGAAAUUCGAAUUUCAAAUUGAUUUUAGGAGAAAAACAGGAAAUGAGGAGAGGAGAGGAGAGGAGAGGAGAGGAGAGAUAAAUUUAAUUUUGUAUAAAAUCAUAUACAAAGACCGAUGAAGGCUUUGUUGAUUCGGUAUACAAAGUGGUGGUGGGUCUCAUUAUUAAUGGCGAAAAAACUGAAAUUGUAUUUACUAACAGUAAAUAAAUUAAAUUAUACCCUCAAUGACUAAUAGCCUAGUAAUAUUUGCCAACUCACUUAAUUUUUCCAUAAUGUGUGAGACUUUUUGAAAGAAAAAAAAAUUGUGCUAACUUGGUUAAAGUGAACAAUUAUCAUACUCUAUUUAGAAUAUCUUUGGGCUAAUUUAUCCGAACAAAAACAAAUAAGUCCCCAAUCUAAGACCAUUAGCCGUUACUUGAAGACAAGACAUUCAUCAUUUGAACUAUUGAAUUAUGGACACAAGUCAAAGAAUCUUCCAACUAUUCAAGAAGUGUAAUUAAUACUUAAUAAAUAUAAUGUCAUCCUCAAUAACUUCAAAUAAUAUCCAAUAAUCAAUAUUAAAUUUUGAUAUUAAUAGAAAUAGUUAAUGAACCCCAAGUUGUAUAAUUUGAUUGUUGGGAUAAAAGAUAAAAGUCAAUCAAAAAUUUAAUUUUUUUAAGAAAUAAUCUUUUAAUUGUGAUUCAAUAAUGUAAUAACACAAGCAAUUACAAUACAUAUAAAUUUGCCAUGUCAGCAUAUGGUGUUCAUGAGUGCGUGUAUGACAAUAGUAAAAGUAUCUAUUUGGUCUUUUAGAUAAAUUUCAGUAUCUAAAUUACAAUUUUUGUCAAAUUUGAGGGAUUAUCUAGAUAUUUAGAUAAAAUUAUUUAUAUAUAAUUAUCUCUAAAUAGGCUCAUAAGCCAGUAAAUGAUACUUUAUAAAUAACUUCAGUUGUAAGUGUUUCUCUUACAAAUUCAAAUUAAUCCAAUGACAAAACCUUUUUAUGAUUUGACUGAAGAGGUUUCUGUGUUGCUGGUAUAUCAAGAUGAGGAAUUGGUUUCUAGUAAAUCAAAUGGUUGAUUUACUAGAGUUCAAUGGAUACAAAGGUGAUAUAUCUAGAACUAAUUUCUAUAUGACUUUCAUUAUAUAGAGAGAGAAUUAAUUGAUACGAUGUUUAUUUAGAACUUUUCCUUUCCUUGUUAUCAUAACAUUAUUUCUAUGCUUGUGUAUGUUGUGUUACAAGUUAAUAAAUGAAUUUGUAUGAUUAUAAGGAAUUAAAUUAGAUUCUUCAUUUUUGUUUUUGUUGUAACCAUGUCACUGACUCGAUUAGCUUUCUCCAUAAGGAUUGUGUAAUUUUUCAAAGAGGUUCAAUAAUUUUAUGUUAAAGUAUGUGUUGUUCUAAUUUUAUCGGAUAUUUUUCCAUAAAGGAGAUAGUUUAAGUUUAUGUUAAUAUUAAUUAUUUCACACUUGACUUUUUUGUACAAAAAAUAAAAAGGAAACUUAUUCUUUGUCAAUCGGGCCUAGAGUGACAUCGUGUUGGAGGAGAAAAUAAUUAGGACCCUCAUAAAUAAUUUUGAAAUCAUAGAUCUUUGAUUUUUACAAAUCUAUAUAUUGUUUUAGAAAGAAAACACAUUCACUUGGAUGAUUGAGGCACAAAAUAAGAGUAAGAGAUUGAAGAGAAGAGCGAGAUAAAGACAUGAUAAGAGAUGAUUUGGCUAUCAUUAUUGUCUGAGAUGACUUUUUUUUGUCUUUUAUUCAAUGUAGACAAACAAAUAAAUAGGGACAUGUGAUUUUCAUGAUUUUUUUCUUCUAUUUUUUUUUUUUGUCUUUUAUUAGAUGUAGACAAGAAAAGAAAUUUUUUUCAUGUGACUUUUCCUCAUUUAUUUUUGUUUCAUUUUCAAUUACUUUGUUAGUAUUUAAUAUCGAUUGUUCCUUAUUCAAGCUAUGUUAAAUAUUUUUAACAUAAUUUUUUUGGUAACUCCUUUCUAAUAAUUUGUUAAAUCUUCUAAACUCUCGUUACUUAUUUAUGAAAUAAAAUUACCUUAAAACUUUUUACAUAAAUUUAUCUUAAAACUUUUUAUCCUAUUAUAUCUUGCUUUAAUAGUAUUUAAUCUAUAUAUAUAUUCAGUGUUUAUUUGUUUUCAACAAGUCAAAGAAUAAAUUAGAAUAUAUUCUUUAGAAUUAUAUUCCUAUAGAAUCUUCUCUAUUAUAUAUUCCUACAGUUAUUUACUGUAAAGUAAUAUUAUAUAUUAGUAAGAUUGCACACACCGUUUACGAUAUAAGUUGAUUAAUAUGUGUUAUUUCAUAAAUUAAAGUAUAGCAACAUAAUAUGAAAUUUCAUAAUUGAAUUUGAAUGAGAAAUUAAAUAAACAUAUCCAAAUGAUAAUUUUGUGUAUAAUAUUUUUUUCAUGUUCUUCACUAACUUUAAAGUGUAUGGAUAUAUACAGUUACGACAGCUACAACUCCUGCAGCAAUGUCAAUGCUCUCCAAAGAAAAGAAAAAAAUUGACAUGAUGAUAAUCGAUGUCAAUUCAUCAGAUUUACAUUGUUUUGAACUCUUGACACAAGCUGUAACCUUAAAUAUAAUCUCUCUUGGUAAGUAUUUAUAAUUCUAUUUUUCACUUCUUGUUAUAAAUAUUGGGUAAAAUCAGUUGUUUCAAUUAAUACACCACAAAAAUAUAAUUAGCUAUAAAAUUUAUCGUUAAUCUAUUGUCAAGAGACGACAUCUAUCCAUUGGUAAUCUUGUUUUUAGUUAUAGUUAUAUGAUAAAUGAUUGUUUCGUAACAAAGUUGUUGUCGUAACAGAUAAAAUUCAGUAAAUAUAUGUGUGAAAUUAACUAUUCUCAUAAUGUAUGAUAUAUUUUUAUUUUUAUUUUUAACUUCUCAAUAUAAUUAUGUAGUUGUAUGUGAUGAACUCAAUAGACUCUUAGCCAAGAACGCUUUGGAAAAUGGAGCUUAUUUUGCUUGAAAAAGCCAUUCAACAAGGAAAUUGUGAAAUACUUAUGGCAACUUGUAUUGAGAGAAAAAAUACAAAGGGAGAAAUCGAAAAAAGGUUUAGAAGCAAAUGGACGAAAUCAUAUGAAUGCUGAUGAAAUUUAUGAUAGUAAUAUUGUAAGAGAUGAACAAUUUGGAGAGAAGAAUAUGCAUGUUGAUACUGAGGAACAUAACAAUAAUAUCCAUAAGGCUGAAAAUGAUGGCGUAUCAACUGGUAAAUACAAGUUGAAGAGGAAGAGAGGGAGAAAAGGUAUAAAACAGAUUAAUGAAGGAGAAAGUCGUAGCAGUACUGUUAUUAAUAAGACUGGUACACGUAAAUGACUUGUAUCAUGCAUUUUAAACAUACAUAAAUGACAAUGAAUUUGAGAUAAUAAUUAUAUCCAUAGUCCAACUCUCCUUUGAGUUUUUCUUUCUUUCAGAAAUGUCGUGAAAACAAUUGGAGACCUCGAAAAGAGAGAAAGAAUAUUCAUCACGGAUCCUCAAGUGAUUCUCAACAAAGAAGUAGUUGUAACACAUCAUUAGAAAGAAAAAAAAGGAGCUGCAAAAAACUUGGAAAAAUGCCUCAUCUUCAAACAAAUAUACCAAAUCAAAUACAAAGAGUCUCAGAGUUCCCACCAGUUAAUACCAACAACAUUUUUGCUAUUUCAACUCAGCAGCAACUCCAUCACCCACAACUUCAGGCUCAACCUCACUGCCUAAACCCAUCUUUGUCAGCCCAAAAUGAUGUUGGUGGUCAACUACAACAACACAGUCUGUUAUUUGGAAUGCGGGUCCAAUUAUUGGAAGCACUCAAAAUGGUUAUGGCUUGGAUCUCAAUCCUACCCAUGUAACAACAUAUUCAGGUAGCACAAUGAUAACUAAUACAAAUGUUGGAAAUGUGACACUUAAUGGAUUGGGAGCUACAAAUGCUAAUUUUCAGCAAGAUAUUGGUGAACAAAACAUGUUUGAUCCAAGUUCUUGCUCUCGUAAUAUUUGUAUCUUAACUUAUCGAAUGCAUUUAUGUAUCUUCCUGUAUUGCAAAAGCUAUAAUUGGGAAAAUAUUUUCAUCUUUUGAUGAGAAAUUUCUUAACCUUUACUCAUUUCUUCGUUUCCUUAUUAUGUAUUGAAUGUUUAAGAUUGUAGUAUAUUAUUACAUACUUAAAUCUUGUUUAUGAAAUUUUUUAAUGAUUAAUGUUUGGAUUAUAAAUCUCUUGUUUUGCUUAUGUAUUGAAUGAUUUUUAUUUUUAAUGAAGUGAGUCAAAUUGUUUCUUUAAUUAUUCUUGUGUUUUAAUAUUUCUAAAAGGAGCGACUAAUCCUAGGACUUGCUCAGUUACUUUGAUUUGAGCUCGAGAGAGUGAAAAAAGAAUAAGAAGAGAGAUUGGAAAAGAUUAAUUAACAAAAAUUGUGGUACUAAUUUGGGUAUUAAUAAACAAAUCCUUACUUGAUCGCAUAUGUGUUGUUCUGUGUGAAAUUUGCCUCUGACUUAUAGUUGACUAAAUUAUAUUGCAUAUGUUCGUGUACAUUUUCUCACUUGGAAGAGUGGAUUUGGAUGUUAUUAACCAUCACCAUCGUUUAGGUAGAAAAAGAAAAUAACUAAUAGUUUAAUGUUUUAAUACAUAAAUGAUCAACUAAUAUGAGACGGAAAGAGUAGCGUAAAUGUAAGAUUCACUUCUCACCAAGAAUCCUCCUUUCUUAUUAUUUUCCUUUUAGAGGUUAAUAAUUAUUAUGUAUCCCUAGAAUAAUUUAUUGAAAUAGUAGAUUUGAAAGAAAGCAAUUAUUCUCUUCUUCCUAUGCGGGACUUUUAGAACAAAACUAAUUUGACAAAAACCACAAUUUAUUGAUUUUUAGGUGGAAUUAUAUCAAUAAGGAACUAUGCUUAUAAUAUUAAUCUAAGAUCAUUAGGGGUCGUUUGGUAGAGUGUAUGAGGUAAAAUAAUGCAUGCAUUAGGUGUGUGUAUUAGUAAUACCUUGUUUGGUACACUUUUUCAUGUCAUGUAUAACUAAUGCAAGCAUUAGUUAUACACUAUAUUGUGUAUUACUAAUACCAAGAAAUCCUAGAUAUUAGUAAUACAUAGCGUUUUAAUACUUGCAUUAGAUUAUACAAUUACAAAACUACCCUCAAAGCCUUUUAAAAAAACAUCUUCAUUUUCCAUGGUACUGUGUUUAGAAACCUUUCAUCUUCUAUGUGGCUGCUAACACUACAAGAAAAGUGUGAAUUACAUGAGGAUUUUCCUGGGGAUUAGUAUGAAAAUCCGUAGGAAACUUAUUUUUCUGCAAAUUUUCAUACUAAUCCCCAGGGAAAUCCCCAUGUAAUUCACAUUUUUCUUGUAGUGUAAACCUUUAAAAAAAAACAUCUCCGUUAUUUAUAAAUUUGAUUGUUGUAAUACUUUUUUGUAUUUCAAUUGCACUAAAAAAUAGGAUCUGUGGCUGCUAAAGCAUAUGCCCAGACUCCUAAUAUAUAUAAAGUGCAUAUACUGAUUUUAAUAGGGUACCGCUUUGCAGUUAGGAAUUAUCUCAGGUCUAUGCUGCCUGUAUCUCCCUUACAUUCCAUCAGUUUUUAUUUUUUAUUUUUGGACUCGUUUUAUCUCAAAAUAUAUAUAAAGCACUACUAAUGCAUGCAUUACUAACACACCCUAUUUUACAUUAUUCUUAUACACUCUGCCAAACGAUCCCUAUUGUUACUUGAACACAUGGAUUCAUCAUCUGAACAAUUGAAACAAUUAAUACUUGUGUGAACCUCUUGUUAUUUCGAGUGAUGUGUCAGAAUCUUUAGCCAACUAAGACUAGCGUUAAAUUUUUGGCAAGUCUCAAGAAGUGUAAUUAAUACUUAAUAAAAUAAUCUCAUCCUUGAGAUUCAAGAACUUGUUUGGUCUGAAUAGGUUUUAAUCAUUAAGAUCUAGAACAAAGUCUUAAUAUUAGUAAGAGGUAUUUUUGUGUGAAUAGUUUUCUUUGAGGUUCGAGAAAUGGAAUAGAUAUGGACUACAAGUUGAUAUUCGCCAUUAGGAAAUUCACACGAAAAGGAACGAGGAAUUCUCAAUGAAAAAAGCGCUCUCUAAAUCUGUUUAGUAUUUGCCAUGAGGUUCUUACCAUAAUUGAAUUUUCCUUUUAGGAAAAGGUAAACACAGUCUCCAUAUUUGUCUAGUUCUUUUUCUUGUACGAAAAAAAUUAUGACUCUAUAAAUAGAUGUUUAUUCAUUCUAGCUUGGUAGCAUUCAUAAUGUAGUCUUAGGGGGCUUUGAGAGUUUUGUGUAUUGUGUGAAGCUAGGGGAAGAAUGUGUGAGACACAAGUAUUACUUUAACACUUGUGUGAACCUCUUUGUAUUCCGAGUGAAUUGUGUGAGGUCAUUCUUCUCUAGAUUUUGAACUUUCUUUUAUAUAGUGAUUUUUUCAUCUCCUCUUGUGGAUGUAGACCGGUUGACCGAACCACGAUAAAUGUUUGUGUCUUUUUGUAUAUUUCUCGUUUGUCUUAUUACUCAUCGUCUUUCGAGGUUUGCUUUGCUAACUUUUGCAUGACACCUAAUUAUUUCAGUCCCAACAAGUGAUAUCAGAGUCAAGUUCAAUGGUUUAAUGAUCCAAUGGUUGAACCAGGUCAAAAAUAAGUGUUCAUCUUGACGGGUUUAGUUCUACCAUAACAUAUUUGAUAGUAAUGAAGAUUUUUGUUGGAGAAAUAUUUUCAAAGAUGUUUUUUGUGUUGAGAUAUAUAUAUAUAUAUAGAGAGAGAGAGAGAGAGAGAGAGAGAGAGAGAGAGAGAGAGAGGGAGAUAUUUUGCAGAGGAGAUGCAUAGUUAUUGAAGAUUAUGUGAAGAAGGUGGAACAAAUUUAUUUUGUCAGAAAUUUAGGCCAAUGGAGAUAUUUGUUUAGUAUUUGUCAUGAGUUUCUUACCAUAAUUGAGUUUUUUUCUUUUAGAAAAAGGAAAACACAAAGUUUCCAUAUUUGGCUAGUUCUUUUUCUUGUAGGAAAAUGUUUAUGACUCUAAAAUUAUAUGUGUAUUCCUUCUAGCCUAAUAGCAUUCACAAUGUAGUCCUAGGGGGCUUAGAGAGUUUUGUGUAUUGCGUGUAGCUAGGGGAGAAUGUGUGAGACACAAGUGUUACUUUAACACUUCCGUAAACCUCUUUGUUUUUACAUUGAAUUGUGUGGGGUUAUUCCUCUCUAUAUUUUGUACUUUCUUUUAUAUAGUGAAUUGCUCAUAUCCUCUUUUGGAUGUAGGUCGGUUGUUCAAACGACGUUAAAUAUUUGUGUCUUUUGGUAUAUUUUUUGUUUGUUUUAUUACUCACAGUCUUUCAAAGUUUGCUUUGCUAGCUUUUGCAUGAUACCUAAUUAUUUCAGUCCCAACAAAACCAAACGUGAAAGUUGUUUUCCAGCAGGCAACUUUUCUAGUAGCUCUACUCUCGACUUGGAUAAUAUAUCCAAAAAGGUACGCUUUCGGUCAUUCCACAUGCUGCCUAUGUAGAGACAUGUUUAUCUAAAGUGGAUUCUCUUUUUUGCAGUAGGUAUUGAACCUGUUAUGCCCAUUGACUAAGAAGCUAGGGGUGGACACAACAACUACAUGGACCUCUUCCUUUCAUUGGCCAUCACCAUUAGUCGUCUUUGUUAUCACAAUGACCACCACCAUUACCGUCAUCAAAUAUCUCUGUCAUCACAAUUACCAUUCUUAUCAACCACUACUAUAUAUCAAGCAUUUGCUAUAUUUAUGUUUUUUAUCGACAUAAACAAUGGGUUAACAUGAUAUAAUUUAUUAGUAGUUUUAUAUAUUUUUCCCAUAAUAAAGGAAACAAUCACUUAUACAUUCUUUGAGAUCAUUUAGUGUAAAAUCAGGAGUGGAAUCAUAACUAGGGUUAUAGCUUAGGAUCAAUUCACCUUCUUAAUUAAUGGGAUAAUUUACUUAGCUAAAUUUGAGUGAAAAGAAGAAGAAAUUAAUUAAUUUAAUUCGUUUACGUUCCAAUGGGGUGUGCAAUACCCAUAAAUUUGUCAUGUCGUUAUUAGGUGUUCAUGAGAUGCAUAUAUUUCAAGCAAAAGUGUCUAUCUGAUUACUAGACAAGUUUAGCCGUCCAAUUUACAAAUUCUGCCAAAUUUGAGGGACUAUCUAGAUAUUAUUAAGAAAAUCUAUCUUAUUUAAUAUAAUAUUUAAAAUAGAUAACUUUGUAAUUAGUGUUCGCUAGAUCUUCAUAUUUUCUCCAACCAUUAUAAAUUCUCAGUGCUCUCUCUAUAUAAAUUCAUCAGGAUAAAAAUAAACAAGACAAGAUAUCAUACAUAAAAAAUAUCCAAAAGAGUUUUCUUUAAAUAUGUGUAAUCUUUUUUAAAUAGCAUAUCCCUUAAGAAGCUAUGUAGUUUUAUCACAAUGUCCUUCUUUAAUUGUUUUUCUUUAAUUAAUAAAAAGGUGUGUUAUAUAUAUCUUCAAUUGAUGAUAAGCCCACUUAUAUACAAAUAAAGUAAUGCAAGUGAAACUCUGUAAAGAAUCCUAUGAAGGUUCUAGCAGAGAAAUUAUAUUUAAAAAGGAGGGUAAUAGCUAAUGUGAAACAAUUAGGGUUGUAAAAUAAAAAAUAAAUCAAAAUAAUAAUAAUUAGGGUUGCAAAGCAACACCCUCUAUUAUUGAAGUUGAAGUUGUAAUUCGUAGGAUUAUUAUAUAAUUGUAAUAAUGCCUAGCUUUUUGUAACAAGAAGAGAAGUGUAUCAUCAUUUGGAGAGUUGUUAGAACAAUUAUAGUUAACAUUUGAGUUAAAGUACUAAAAUUAAUCUCUUAAAUUAUAAAGGUGUAAUUUGAAAUCAUUCGUUGAAGUUAGUAUAGAUUGAUUGAUAAGGAGUUGUUUAUAGUCUUUUGAGCAAAGAUAUUUUCAUUGUAAGCCCUUUCUUACUUAAUUAGCACUCCUUCGUUACUUUUUACUUAGUAGGACAUACGAAUUGAGGUUAGCUUAUCGCAAUCUAGUAUAUACAUUCAAUUAUUAGAAAAUAAAAUAAUAAUAAUAAAAUUAUUAUUAAAUUUAAGUUUUACUGUCUGGAUUUAUCAUGACACAUAUAAUGUCCACUUGGGCAAAUUUAUUAUUUAAAACACAAUAAUAAUAAUAUAUUCAAUGUAAUUUCAUAAUUGACAUUUGAGAAGAAAAAAUAUAUAUGCUAACCCUUGAUUAAAAAAUUAAAAUUAACCAACCAAAACUAAAAUAAAUAUUUAUAUAAGGUUGUGUAGUGAGAACAAUUAGAUAUACUGGUUUUAAUUCAACUAUGCAUUAAAAAGAACAAUAAGUUGCUGUGGUGUAGUGGUUAUCACGUUAGUCUUACACACUAAAGGUCCCCAGUUCGAUCCUGGGCAGCAACAUAUAUGUAAAAAGUUUUACUUUUUUUUUGAUAUGUCGACGAAAACGUGUUUAUCCUUUUAUUUGUCGGCGGCAUGUCGACGAAAACGUGUUUCUCCUCUUUAUUGUUUUCACCAUGACCUCUUCACUACUAUAUUUACAUUACAUGCUUGUUCUAUCGGAAACAACUCUACCUUCACAAGGUAGGGUAAGACUGCAUAAACGUCACCCUCCCCAUAGUACGUAAAAAGAAUAUGAGACAGCUGCAGGAUCAUGGAAAGAUCAAAUUUUCUCUUUAUUUCAUUAUUGCAAUUACUCCAUGUCAAAAUCCAAAUACAUUCUAUAGGCAUUUCUAUCUGAAGAGUAAUAGCCCUCCACAAGAGUAUCCACUUGGAAACCGAGUUUCUUGUAUAGCUGCAUAGCUGCAGUCCUUGUAGGAUCUACAUGAAGCGAUAUCCGAUGAACGUUUCUUGUUCUGCAUUUCUGCACUGCUGCCUCCAGUAAUUUUUCUCCAUGGCCUUGUCCCCUGUAGUUCUCUUUCACUGAUGUAUUCCACAGGAACGAUGCAUCAGUAAACAAAACGAAAAAUUUUAAAUGACAAAAGAUAAGGAAUAUUGUAAAUGAAUCUCUUAACCCCUCGUUUUUCAACUUGUGUUGAUUCGCUCAGGCCAGAGAACAACAAGAGAGAGACAGGCAUAAACAUCACGAUGAAAAACUCAUAACCACAUAGAGAACGAAAGCAAUUCUUUUGAAAAAUAAACAUCACAUGAAAGAUGGUUCUCUCUUCUAUGUAAUGACGGACAAUGCUUCACUGACUUAUCGGGAAUAUUUACUAAUAAUAUCAAUUCACCUUCUGCCUUUCCCUAUUGCGAUUCAAUAUGAUGACGAUCAGAGAAAGAUAUAACUAAACUCUCCUGCAAAAUUCCUUUAAAACAACUGCUAGCUAUUUCAAGGUUCGUUGUUUCCGCAAUAGUAACAUAUCAGCUUUGCUCGGAGGGGAAAACUACAUAACACCACUCUAAUUUAGAAAUGCUGCACUUUCAUCCAAUCCAGCUACAGAGAAAAACGUUGAAAGAGCAGAAGCAAUUUCUCCUACCUCUCUAUUCAUAGAGAUCAAAACUUGUUCGGCAAAUGCAUUCAUGCAUAUUCUUCUUUAAAAGACAACUUUUUGUAGAUGAACUGCUCCCAAAUAAGUAUUUUUAUCUUUUGAAUGCUCAAGUUAUAGUCACAUUCACACUCUUGACUGCUCUUUUUCCUACGAAAACAUUAUCAAAGAGUCACAUUUGAGUUCCUCACGAUUAUAACCUCGUAUAUUAAAUCAAAUUGGUCCUAGUCACAUUCGGAAAUAGUCUCUCUACUUUCACAACUAGGGAUAAGACCGCGUACAGACUAACCUCUCCAAACCCCACUUGUCUACGCGGUCCUAGUCACACUCACAUUGGGAAAUUGUCUCUCUACUUUCACAGGUAGGGAUAAGACUGCGUACACACUACCCUCUCCAGACCCCACUUGUCUACACAGUCCUAGUCACACUCACAUUGGGAAAUAGUCUCUCUACUUUCACAGGUAGGGAUAAGACUGCGUACACACUACCCUCUCCAGACCUUACUUGUCUACGCAGUCCUAAUCACACUCACAUUGGGAAAUAGUCUCUCUACUUUCACAGGUAGGGAUGGAUAAGACUGCCUACACACUAUCCUCUCUCCAAACCCGACUUAUCUACACAGAGUAUGUUGUUGUUCCAAUAAACAAUAUUAGAUAUCAGCUUAGACUUCAAUCCAAGAAUACAACUACAAUAAUCAGAAUAAAUUCAAGAAUAAGACCAAUUAUUAAAAGGAAAAUCAAAGCAAAACAGAAAAUUAUGAAAAGGGUAUUUUUUGUUCAGACCUGCUAAUUUAGUGAUACAAGCAGAGAGUGAAGAAGGCCAAGAAUACAUAACAUAACCAGCAAUAUCUUCACCUAAUUGAGUGUAGAGUAACCCAGAAUUCUUCUUUUUCAGUUCCUCAUCAAAAGAUCGAGCUAAAGAUUCAUGUUUGGGGAAAAUCUUCUUCUCUAUUCUCACUAUAUCGUCAACUACCUUAACCCAAUUUGCUGAAUUUCUCUGCAAUUCAACUAUCUCUGCCAUUUCUUCGUUUUCAUAUUUCUCUGUUUUUGCUGCUGUAUUUAGGUUAACAAGAAUCUACUGGGGUCAUUAUUGGAAAGAAAAAUAGUUCCUCUGUUAUUUUAAAAGUUUUUACUUUAUUUUUUUUAACUAUAAAGUUCUUAUAUAUUUUUAACGUUUUAAUUAUUAGAAACUAUUAUGUACAUUGUUUUUAUUUUACAUGGUUUAUUAAUAUAUAUAGUAUAAAUUUGCAUUCAUGUAUUAAUUAACUUAUCAAUUAAUCAAUAGUAAAAAUUCUCUCUGAUUUUCUGAUUAUUUAUGGCCAGUUUUUUUUUGUAUGUGUGCGUCUCUAAGCUCGUAAGUGAAAGUAAAUCAAUUUUUUAAUUGUUAAUUUAUGCCCAACUUCUUUAUGUAUGUGUGCGUUUCUAAGCUCGUAAGUGAAAGUAAAUCGAGUCUCACGAUAUCAUCUGUCUUUGUCAUACUCGUCUGGUUGAACAAGGACUAAUACUAGUUGUUGAGCAAAAUUAAUUUAUAAAUACUCUUAACAAGGUGUGAUAUUAUUUGUUUUGGGUAAAGUCUUUGUAAGGCUUCACACUAUUAAGAGAUUCUACACUUUAUAUGUAAUUUUUCAAUCUUUUCAGCUAUCAAUGUGGGAUUUUAUUUACCCAACUAACAAUUUUGUUAUUUGUUCUUACAUUUUGGUGUUAGCUUUGGCCUUUGUGUACUCCAUCAUAGGUUGAGGAAAGGGAUCAUAUAUAAUUGGAAAAAUACAAAUCAGAAUGGUAUUUUUGUUAGUAAUCCAAGGGAUUGGUUUACUUUUGGACAUGUUAUUUUUUUGGUUCUACUUAAGGUUAGUAAGGUCAUUUCAAUAUUAUUUUCUUCCUACUUCAAUCAACAGCAACUUCUAUUUUUCCUUAUAUGACAACGCAAUUCAAUCUAGCUACGUUGUUAUGUUAACCAACCCCAAAAACAGGACACCAUAUCUAGAUUGAUAAGCUUAAGUAAGUUUCGAUAUGACUCAUUUAUACUUCAAUUAAUCUAAAGUAAAACUUAUCCAUAUGUAUGAUCCAGCCAAAUUAUUUUAUCAAUAUAAUCGAAAUAUUAAAAACAUAUUUAGUAAUUAUGGAUAUCAUAGGUAUAGAUAUGUAUAUAUAUUAUACUAAAAUAUACAAAACCUAUACAAUUAUGACUAUUUGUAAAUUAGAUUAAUCAAAGACAUUGAACUGUAAUUAUUCCAAUCUAUACUUUAAACCCUUUUCACUUCAAAGCACUAUCCCAAUUCUAAACAGUUUGAGACAUGGUAAAAAAAAAUAAUUGAUUUUUUUUUUUUUAAGAUGGGGUGUAGUUAGGUGGAAUUUUCUUGGUUUUGUUCAAAUAAGUCUGCCUUUUGAAGCAUAGGCAUACUUGUUUCAUCUUUAUAUAUAUAUAUAUAAUAAUGAUGUUCUGGAUAACUUUUACACCUUAACUUGAUUAAUUAUGUGAGAUAUCUGUCAUUUUUCAUAGCAAUAUUAUAUUUAACUAUAUUCGCCCAAACUAAAACAGGUAGAAAUAACAUUUGAAUCUGUCAAACUGCAAUAAUGAAUUAUAUAUGGUGGAAGAUUCUUUGGGGCCCAACUGGCCCCACAGCUAAUAUUUUAACGGACGUCCAUGAAAAGUUUUAACAAAAUCACGUCGAAAUUCUAGAUCACCAAAAAUUCAUGGACUAUAUAGCACACGAUAAUCAGCAAAAUGGGGGGGGGGGUUACUUGCUCAAGGGCUCGUCUGACCUUGAAAAUGGGCUGGUUUGCCCGUGGGGACCAAUUGGCUCUAUAACUAAGGUCUUAACGGACGUCCAUGAAAAGUUAUUGCAAAAAAUCACGUUGGAGUUCCAUAUCACCAAAAAUCCAUGGACUAUAGCACAUGAAAAUUGGCAAAAUAAAGGGUUUACCUACUCUGGGCUCGUUUGACCUUGAAAAUGGGUUGGUUUGCCCGUGGGAACCAGCCGGCUCCAUAGCUAAGGUUUUAACGGAAAACCAUGAAAUUUUUUGGCAAAAGUCACGUCGGAAUUGCGGAUCACCAAAAAUCCAUGGACUAUAGUACACGAAAAUCGGCAAAAUGGGGGGGUUUACCUACUCUGGGGAUUGUUUGACCUUGAAAAUUUCCCGAUUUGCCCGUGUGGACCAACUGGCACCACAGCUAAGGUUUUAAUGGACGACCAUGAAAUUUUUUGGCAAAAGUCACGUCGGAAUUGCGGAUCACCAAAAGUUCAUGGACUAUAGUACACGAAAAUUGACAAAAUAGGGGGUUUACCUACUCUGGGGAUCGUUUGACCUUGAAAAUUGUCCGGUUUGCCCGUGUGGACCAACUGGCUCUAUAGCUAAGGUCUUAACGGACGUAUACAGAAAAUUUUGGCAAAAAUCACGUCAAAAUUUCGGAUCACCAAAAAUGCAUGGUCUAUAACACACGAAAAUCGGUAAAAUGAGGGUUUACCUGCUCUGGGGAUCAUUUGACCUUGAAAAUGGGUCGGUUUACUCGUGGGGACCAACUGGCUCUAUGCUAAGGUCUUAACGGACGUCUAUGAAAUUUUUUAGCAAAAAUCACGUCGAAAUUUCGGAUCACCAAAAUCCUAUGGACUAUAGCACACAAAAAUCGGCAAAAUAGGGGGUUUACCUGCUCUAGGCUCGUUUGACCUUGAAAAUGGGCCGAUUUUCCCGUGGGGACCAACUGGCUCCAUAGCUAAGGACUUCACGGACGUCCUUGACAAAUUUUGGCAAAAAUCACGUCGGAAUUCCGUAUCACCAAAAAUUUACGGACCAUAGCACACGAAAAUAGGCAAAAUGGGGGGUUUACCUGCUCUGGGCUCAUUUGACCUUGAAAAUGGGCCGGUUUGCUCGUGGGGACCAACUGGCUGCAUAGCUAAGGUCUUAACGGAUGUCCAUGAAAAUUUUUGGUAAAAAUCACGUAGGAAUUCCGGAUCACAAAAAAUCCAUGGAUUAUAGCACAUGAAAAUCGGCAAAAUGGGGGGUUUUACCUGCUCUGGGGUUCAUUUAACCUUGAAAAUGGGCCAAUUUUCCCGUGGGGACCAACUGGCUCUAUAGGUAAGGCUUAAUGGACGUCCAUGAAUUUUUUUUGUAAAAAUCAUGUCAAAAUUCUGUAUCUCCAAAAAUCCAUGGACUAUAGCACACAAAAAUCAGCAAAAUGGGCGGUUUACCUGCUCUGGGAAUCGUUUGAACUUGAAAAUGGGCCGGUUUACCCAUGGGGAUCAACUGUCUUCAUAGCUAAGGUCUUAACGGACGUCUUUAAAAAUUUUGGCAAAAUUACGUCGAAAUUCCAGAUCAUCAAAAAUCCAUGGAUUAUAGCACAAGAAAAUGGGUAAAAUGGGUUGGUUUGCCCGUGGGGACCAACUGGCUCCAUAGCUAAGGUCUUAACGGACGUCCAUGAAAUUUUUUAGAAAAAAUCAUGUCGAAAUUCUGGAUCACCAAAAAUUGAUGGACUAGCACACAAAAAUUGGCAAAAUGGGGGGUUUACCUACUCUGGGGAUCGUUUGACCUUGUAACUGGGCCAAUUUUCCUGUGGGACCAACUGGCUCCAUAACUAAGGUCUUAACGGACGUCCAUGGAAAUUUUUGGAAAAAAUCACAUCAGAAUUCCGGAUCACCAAAAAUUCAUGGAUUAUAGCUCACGAAAAUUGGCAAAAUGGGGGGUUUACCUGCUCUUGGGCUCAUUUGACGUUGAAAAUGAGCCGGUUUGCUCGUGGGGACCAACUGGCUCCAUAGCUAAGGUCUUAACGGACGUCCAUAAAUUUUUUUGGCAAAAAUCACGUCGGAAUUCCGGAUCACAUUCAUGACUAUUUGUAAAUUAGAUUGAUCAAAGACAUUGAACUGUAAUUAUUCCAAUCUAUUCUUUAAACCUUUUUCACUUCAAAGUACUAUCCCAAUUCUAAACAGGUUGAGACCUAGUAAAAAAAAUGAUUUUUUUUAAAGAUGGGGUGUAGUUAGGUGGAAUUUUCUUGGUUUUGUUCAAAUAAGUCUGCCUUUUGAAGCAUCGGCUAUUCUUGUUUCAUCUUUAUUUUAUUUUUCAUAAUAAUGGUGUUCUGGAUAACUUUCACACCUUGACUUGAUUAAUUAUGUGAGAUAUUUAUCUGAUCAUUUUUCAUCAGCAAUAUUUAACUAUAUUCGCCUAAACUAAAACAGGUAGAAAUAACAUUUGAAUCUGUCAAACUUCAAUAAUGAAUUAUAUAUGGUAGAAGAUUCUUUGGGGCCAUUAUGCAAUGAUAGUGGAACAUGAGAAUAUUUUUAUGAUUGGUAAAAAUAUCAUGGGAAUGGCGAAAAACUAGCUUUGAUAAGAAGAAUAUGAUGCUUUAUAACAUUAUCAAGGGAACAAAAGUCAUUUUUAUAUAUUUGAAGAAAAGAAAGUUUUCACAUUACAAUAAUUGGGAUGCCUAUAAAUGUGUGGUUCAAAAUGAUAGUGACAAGCCACAUAUUAUAUUGAAGCAUUAAUUAAUCAUAGUAAAGAAAGUUCAAUGUUAUUAUUAGGGGCAAUUUGUGCAAAGUAGAUAUGACCUAAGUUGCUUGAACGCAAAGGUAAUGUUAUAAUGUUUGUGAAAAAUUGAUAGAUCAUUAAAUCAUUAAACCUAUUACCUAUAUAAGAUUUAGUGCUAAUUACAAUCAUUUCUAUGUAGUGUAAGUGAUGUUGGAUUAGGUGGAUAUCAACUUAUCAAAGUGGACACCAAAUUUUUUAAAUUGCUUUCUCUAGUGUUACACUAACUUUAAUAAGUGGAAAUCCUUAGACAAUUGUUGAAGAUAUCUAUCAUAUUUGAUCAAAUAAAACAUAAGUUAUCAAUCAUAGAAUCAGAUAUAUACCUUUAAAUUCACGGGAGCGUUUGACUAUGUUUCAUUGUGAAAUUUGAUUUUUCUUUUCAAGUAAAAAAAGAUAAAUUGAAAUUAGAUAUUGUUAUCAACUUGUAUACCACUAGUUCGAAAGGCAUAAUUUCUUAAACUGACAUUCAAACUUAGCCUCCACUUACAAGUAAUUACUUCAACUUUUUCAUUAUGUAUGCAUAUUUAGACACCUUAUAAACUCGACUCAUUUCCACUAUACCAGCUAAACUCUCCAACAUAUGUACAAAAUAAUCAUCUAGUCACCUUCAAAAUUUAUUCAUUACAUCAGCAUCGAAUGUAAUGAGAUACAGAGACGAGUUGAGUAUUUAGUAGACCGUUGAAACCAAGUUGAGGUGUCCAUACCUAUACAACAAUUAUCACAGGUGACAUGCUUUCAAAUAAUUUUGAAGUAUUAAAAAUAGAUGAUUUAUUAAAAUAAGAUAUUUCUCACCAUAAGCAAUUUUCAAUUCUUUCGCAUCAAACGCACCCAUAUUUAGAAUGUUCUAUACUAUCACUCUCCAUAGACGGCAGCCAUCAUGUCAAUCACCACCCACCAGCACUUGCUGUUGUUAACCUUGCCAAAUAGAUAAUGACAAGUUGGCAUAUGAGAUAGGUGGUCUACGCCUAUCAACAUGAGUUGUGGUGCAAUGGUGGAAUUGCUCAAUCCUUAAUUAGAAAUUUCAGGUUUGAGUCUUGGGUAUGAAGAAAAUUCUAUUGGAAGCGUCACUCUCAAAUGAGUCCUGUGCUGUACAAUUCAGAUUUAAUUAAGGCUUUAAUGCAGACUCCGAACAGUGAGCGUGAGAAAAAAAGAGAGGUGGCCUAUGCCUAUUUCUCUUUGAGAUGUUGAUGCCUUGAUUUUGAAUGUCUUGUUUUUCAAUCCUCGUGCUUAUAUCUUUGAAUAUUCAUUACUUUCUCUAGAUGUGAAAACUACUCUUUCCGUUUCAAUUUGAAUAUUCAGAUUAUAAAGAAUAUUUUUUUUAUAUUUUACGUAACUUUAAUCGAAUACCAUAUAAUUUAAAAGUUCGUUUUACUUUUUUAAAUCAAAAUCAAAUAAAUAAAUUAAAACGAAAGGAGUGAUGGCUGAGAUGUCCUGUAAAAUGGUAUUGGUCUCUUUAGUGGGAUUUUGUUAUUUUGAUUUUAAAUUGACACAAGAAGCUAAACAAGCUUUGUCUUCUUAAUGAUUGGAUUUGAUUCAUCUUUUCAAUUUCAAUUGAGUCUGUCUCAAAAUUCAUAAUGUUAACUAUAUAAAUCCAGGUGAUCAUAUAUUACAUUGAUCUAAGAUGUAUAUUCAUAUCAUAUAUCGCGUUACUAAAUAUAAUUACAUUGUAUGAACACGCGAAGAAGAUGAUCAGAACAAGAGAAGACAUGUUACUAAACAACAACAUAAGAAAAAACAAAUUCUGUUAAGUGAUUGAUCCGCGUGUGAUAGUUGUCUUCUUAACCUUGGACUAUUGCUUCCUGCUAGAUUAUAUGAACUUGAAUAUGUAUACAAAUUAGUAUUCAAUGAGUUCCCAAACAUUCGCGCAUAAAAAAUUUCCCCUGUUGUCGUUCCACCAGGACUUAGCAUAUGUUCUGUAUUUGUAUAAUUUCGAUGAUGAUCAUGAGAUUGUUGGUAUAAUGGAGGCAUAUUAUUAUUGGGUAUUACUCCGUGACUCCUACAUCUCGGAGUAGGAGGUCUUUGUGGUAUGACUAUACCAAGAUUCAGGGCCUUGCCUGCUGUUUUUGUAGCUUGACCGCGACCAUAGAGUGGAAUCAAUGUUUUUUGUGAGACUUCAGCUUUGCAAACAGGGCAUUUUGGCUGUUGAUUAUCGAUGUUCUCUGAUGAAAUGGUCUUAAUAUGUAUCCAUUUGUAGAUGCAAGGCCAACAAUAGAGGUGACCACAUAAUGUAACAACAGGAUCAUGUACAACAUCCAGGCAAAUGUUGCACUCGAAACCUCCAGGUGAAUUUUCUUCAAGUUUAUCAAGAUCAAUUGUCUUACAUUUUUCAAAGGAAAUAUCGCGUUGAUCAAAAAUAGUUUCUGGUAUUUGGUCUUGAAAAAUUUGUUCUAAGGCCAUAUUUGCUUCUUGGUAUUGAUUUAUUUUGGUAAUGGCAAGAUGAAUGGUUAGAAUUCAGGUUUUUAAUACAAUUAGAAGUGAGUAUUUAUAAGGACAAGAAUAGUAGUUUGCAAACAAUGAUUCUUAAGGUUGUCACUUGUCAACAUCACAUCAUGUUAAAGGGGCAUGGCCAAAAAGAAAAGGCCCUACACAUUAUUAAACAACACUAUAUCAUAUUACUCAACUCAGUUUUGAUUUAUGGGUACUGUUUGAUUUGAUAUAACAUUUAAUAAGAAAAUGAAAACUUUUAAAAUAUGUACUGUAUUAAAGAUAAAAAAUAAAUUUUAAAUUUUUAGAUCCUAGAAAUGAUAUUCUUUUUAUAUUAAGACUACAACAAAUGUCUUACAUAAAUUAAGACAGGUGAACUAUCAAACACAUCAUAAUUAAGUGAUUUAAUGAAGUCAAAAAUAAAUAUUAAUGGAUCAUGGUUAAGUGAGAGGAGUUUUGUGCAAACACGUCUUUUAUCUAUCUAUUUGAUUUAAACAAGCAUAAGUUUUAUCAUAUUAGAAAUAUGAUUAGGACCUUAUAUUAGGCCCCAUGAUAAGAAUCUUAAUCUAGAAAAUAACUUUUAGUCAAUAAAAAGUAGCACUAGUUGCGUACAAGGAGCUACCACUUGAUGACCUUCCACACAGCCACAUCCCAUAAGUUCAAUAGUUUUCACACUAUAAGAACUAGAUGUUUUUUUCCGAGUGAAUCAAUAAAAAUUUUAUGUUAUAAAACAUGAUUUUUUUCAUUUUGAUUUUAUUAAACUAAUUCACUAAGAAAACCCAUAACGAAACAUAAGUUCUCAUUGAAAUACUGGAAAUAGUCACUUGGAAAUUUAUGAGUUUUAGGAAAUUAUGCAUCAAAACUUAGAAAGACGCGGCUCAUAUAGAAAUUUGUUGUUAAAUCAUAAUAUAUACUUUUACAUCUGAAUAUCUUUAUUGAUUUGGUUAAAAUUAUAAUUAAAAAAAUUACAAUACAAUAUAUAUAGAUUCACAUAAAUUUAAUACUGUAAGUUCAAUUAUUAUUAUGAUAUAUUAAUCUAAAAUUAUUAUAGAAGCUUCUAAACUCUAAAUUCAGAUCCAACUAAGGAGUGAAUAUACAUAGUGGGGGUCUGGGGGAUGGGAGAAAACAUAUGGACGGUGUGACAAAUAAAUAAAAGAAAUACUCCGUCCAUUCCAUUUGACUUAGUAUUGUUUGACUUAAUACGAUGUAUAAGAGAAAAAAAAGAUUUUAGAAAAUUAUAGGCUAAAACAAUUUUUAUAUAUUUAUAUAAUUGUAAAUCAUUUCAUUAAUUAAGGGUAGAUGGAGAAUUUUAAGUUUAAUUAUUUUCAAUUACAAUAAAAUGACAUUUUUAAAGACGGAUUAUGAGAAUAGAGUGCCACGUAAUAUAAAACGAGAAAAUACUACUCCCUCCUUCCCAUUUUAUAUGUUACCUUUUUACUUUACAUUUACAUUAAGAAAUAAUGUAACUUUACCCUUCUACCCUUAUUUAAUGUUUUCUUAAGUUAACUUUAUAACUCCCUCCGUCCCAUUUUAUAUGUCAUCUCUUUCUAUAAAUAGUUGGACCACAAUACUUGUCAUUUUAUAAAAUUUAUGUAUAAAUUACCAUAUUUUACCUAUUAUAUCCUUGAUAGAGUAGUUAAUUAAUCUUGAAAAUAUAUUCAUCAUUUAUUAUAAAUUGACUUAAGAAAAUAUUAAAUAAGAAUAGAAAGAUAAAAUUACAUCAUUCUUCAACAAGUGGUAUCAGAGCCAGGUUAAUAAGAGCGAGGUAGUAACUCAAAAGAGAUCCUACAAGCUACCGUCGGAGGCUACAAAUCGCGAGGCACUAAUUAAUGAUGGAUUUUGCAAGCACUCUCAAUAGCGUUGAGANNNNNNNNNNNNNNNNNNNNNNNNNNNNNNNNNNNNNNNNNNNNNNNNNNNNNNNNNNNNNNNNNNNNNNNNNNNNNNNNNNNNNNNNNNNNNNNNNNNNNNNNNNNNNNNNNNNNNNNNNNNNNNNNNNNNNNNNNNNNNNNNNNNNNNNNNNNNNNNNNNNNNNNNNNNNNNNNNNNNNNNNNNNNNNNNNNNNNNNNNNNNNNNNNNNNNNNNNNNNNNNNNNNNNNNNNNNNNNNNNNNNNNNNNNNNNNNNNNNNNNNNNNNNNNNNNNNNNNNNNNNNNNNNNNNNNNNNNNNNNNNNNNNNNNNNNNNNNNNNNNNNNNNNNNNNNNNNNNNNNNNNNNNNNNNNNNNNNNNNNNNNNNNNNNNNNNNNNNNNNNNNNNNNNNNNNNNNNNNNNNNNNNNNNNNNNNNNNNNNNNNNNNNNNNNNNNNNNNNNNNNNNNNNNNNNNNNNNNNNNNNNNNNNNNNNNNNNNNNNNNNNNNNNNNNNNNNNNNNNNNNNNNNNNNNNNNNNNNNNNNNNNNNNNNNNNNNNNNNNNNNNNNNNNNNNNNNNNNNNNNNNNNNNNNNNNNNNNNNNNNNNNNNNNNNNNNNNNNNNNNNNNNNNNNNNNNNNNNNNNNNNNNNNNNNNNNNNNNNNNNNNNNNNNNNNNNNNNNNNNNNNNNNNNNNNNNNNNNNNNNNNNNNNNNNNNNNNNNNNNNNNNNNNNNNNNNNNNNNNNNNNNNNNNNNNNNNNNNNNNNNNNNNNNNNNNNNNNNNNNNNNNNNNNNNNNNNNNNNNNNNNNNNNNNNNNNNNNNNNNNNNNNNNNNNNNNNNNNNNNNNNNNNNNNNNNNNNNNNNNNNNNNNNNNNNNNNNNNNNNNNNNNNNNNNNNNNNNNNNNNNNNNNNNNNNNNNNNNNNNNNNNNNNNNNNNNNNNNNNNNNNNNNNNNNNNNNNNNNNNNNNNNNNNNNNNNNNNNNNNNNNNNNNNNNNNNNNNNNNNNNNNNNNNNNNNNNNNNNNNNNNNNNNNNNNNNNNNNNNNNNNNNNNNNNNNNNNNNNNNNNNNNNNNNNNNNNNNNNNNNNNNNNNNNNNNNNNNNNNNNNNNNNNNNNNNNNNNNNNNNNNNNNNNNNNNNNNNNNNNNNNNNNNNNNNNNNNNNNNNNNNNNNNNNNNNNNNNNNNNNNNNNNNNNNNNNNNNNNNNNNNNNNNNNNNNNNNNNNNNNNNNNNNNNNNNNNNNNNNNNNNNNNNNNNNNNNNNNNNNNNNNNNNNNNNNNNNNNNNNNNNNNNNNNNNNNNNNNNNNNNNNNNNNNNNNNNNNNNNNNNNNNNNNNNNNNNNNNNNNNNNNNNNNNNNNNNNNNNNNNNNNNNNNNNNNNNNNNNNNNNNNNNNNNNNNNNNNNNNNNNNNNNNNNNNNNNNNNNNNNNNNNNNNNNNNNNNNNNNNNNNNNNNNNNNNNNNNNNNNNNNNNNNNNNNNNNNNNNNNNNNNNNNNNNNNNNNNNNNNNNNNNNNNNNNNAAGCUUGAGAUAAGAGGAGACGUUAUAUGUGCUGGAUGUCAAUAUGGGAAAGCACAUCAACUUCCCUAUGGAGAAUCAAAGUAUCAAGCGNNNNNNNNNNNNNNNNNNNNNNNNNNNNNNNNNNNNNNNNNNNNNNNNNNNNNNNNNNNNNNNNNNNNNNNNGACCAGUGAAGCAGUCCUCCAUCAGCGGUUACCGUUACAUGGUAACAUUCAGUGAUGACUUCUCAAGGUACGUAUGGAUUUACUUCAUAAAAGAGAAAUUUGAAGUAUUUGAGAAGUUUAAAGAGUUUCAAUAUACUGUGGAGAAUGAUAUUGGAAGAAAAAUCAAAUGUCUCCGUACGGACAAUGGGGGAGAAUACACGUCACGAGAGUUCAAUGAAUAUCUUAAAGAGAAGUUGAUAAGACGACAACUAACUUGUCCAAAUACACCACAACAAAAUGGAGUGGCUGAAAGAAAAAAUAGACAUCUGGCGGAGAUAUGCAGAAGUAUGUUGCAUAGUAUGAAUGUACCAGCAAGGUUUUGGGCAGAAUGCAUGAAGACUGUUGUCCACAUCAUCAACAGGCUGCCGCAGGCAAGAUUGAGAUUUAUCUCACCAUUUGAGAAACUUAAAAAAAUAGAUUCCUACUGUAAGCCACUUUCGAGUUUUUGGUUGUGUGUGCUAUGUGUUCGUGCCAGAUCAUCUCCGCAACAAGUUUGAUAAGAAAGCUGUUCGUUGCAUCUUUGUUGGAUACGAUGAACAAAGAAAAGGAUGGAAGUGUUGUGACCCUACCACAAAUCGGACAUAUGUGUCAAGAAAUGUGGUAUUUGAUGAAGCAUCAUCUUGGUGGUCCAAAGAAGUCUCCCUGCCAGACUCAAUAGCUCUUGAGCAAAAGCUGCAAGAUAAGCUCAAUGAAGUAGAACAAGGGAACAAGAUAGACUCUAACCAGGAGGUAUCUCCACAAAAGGAAAAGAAAAGCUUACCACAAACUGGAGCUUGUGAAACACCAGAUGAGUUGCAAGAAGAAGUCCAAGAAGAGUCACAAUCGCAACUGAGGAGGUCUACACGACUGAAGCGUCCAAACAUCAAGUACAUAGAUGCAGCAUUAACCGAGGUGGUUAACAUCAAAGAGGCUGCUACCUUUGAAGAAGCUUCAAAGAGUAGGGAUCGGAAUAAUCCGACGAAGGUGGAGAUCCCCAAAGGGUAUGGACGUUAUGAUGCUUGCAAAGUUUCAGGAAUCGCUCACAAAAGACGCAAAGAAAAAAUUAAGUUGGUGUUGAGGGGGAGUGUUAAGAAUUCAUCACCAACUUAAUUCUUUACUUAAGAUAAAUCAAGAAAAAUCUAGAAUAUUCCGGAGGUGUAGAGAAUUGAAGGAAGAUCUCUAGAAUGAGUAUUCUAGAAAGAAUAGUCUAGAAAUGUUCUAGAAAGAAUAGUUCUAGAAAAAGAUAGUUAGGAAUAUUCUAGAAUAGAGUAGUAUGUAUCUCUCUAGAUUCUUCCAUCACCACCUAUAAAUAGAGGUGGUCCAUUUGAGUUGUAAGCAACCAAGCAAGAAACCAAGCAAGAAAUAAGAGAGCAAACAAGAGUGAGUGCUUAAGUCAAAUAGUGUUGCUGAAGCAAGCAACAAGUGUGAUCAAGAUUGUAAGACCGAAGCGGGUCCUUACUUUGAUAUAAUAAAAUUCAAGUUGUGAGAAAUCGAUUGUGCCCGUCGUCUCCAAAACAAUAAUAUUCAACACUCAUCCCCAAUUCUAGAGACUAAGUUUCUCAUCUUCAUUCUUAUCUCUAUCCUUACUUGUUAUUUCAAUAUUUCCAUUGUAAUUAGAUAGUUUGAUUAUUCCAAUUAGAAUAUUAAAGUUGUAAUAGUGUUCCAGUGCUCUUAUUAAUAGUGUGAGAAUUUUGGUUUGUUACAUCAGACGUUCUCUUUUCGAAUAAUUGAACGUCUCAUAUUAUUUGCUAAUGAAAAAUAUCAUGAGUAGGACCCAAAAAGAUAGUAGUACCAGAUAACAAACAAAAAAAUACUGUACAGUCUAAAAAUAAGUAUAGAAUAGCUUGAACUUUUGGGCCGUUGUAUAAAACACCCAGAAAGGGAGACAGGGGAGUCACUGGUCCACUUAAUUAUUACAUGUAGUAAAAUUAUUAGUUAUGUACUAGCAAUACUGGAAGUAUUAUUUCAUGGCAUAUAUUGGUGACUAAGAUAAGUGAUAAGCAUAAUAAAUAAUUUAGAAGUAGGUGGAUUCGAGUCAUCAACGAGCUCCCGGGGAGGAAUGAAAAAACUCUUAAUAAUAACUACAACAUGGAGUGGCCACUGCUAGCAUAGGUGAUAUCCUACGAAUAAUGAUGCCACUGCCUUCCGUCAUAUCCAAAUCCUCCGGUUUUAACACUUCUGGUAAUGCUAAAUUGAACUUGUGCACAAUCCUUGCUAAUGCUAGCUCAAUUACCACAAUAGCAAAACCAGUUCCUGGGCAGCCCCUUCUCCUAAAAUUGUCAACUUUUUAUAUUUUGGCUUACUUGGAAGCAAGUCUAUCCUCUCCUAUCCAAUCAAUUAGGGUGGCCAUUAAUCAGAUAUUAUUAGGCUAAAGAUAACAUAUUGCUCCCUCCGUUUUUAAUUAUUUAUCCAUUUUUUUAGUUAUUCCUAAUUACUUGUCUAUUUUGACAAAUCAAGAAAGAAUAAUUUUUUUUACCUAUUAUACCGUCAAUUUAUUACUUUGAAAAAAGUAGAACUUUUUGAAAAUCUUGAGUUUUUAAUUCAUCCACUUCAUAAUUAAUAUGGGUAAAAUGGUAAACUCACUAUUUCAAUAAUUGUUUUCUUAAUAAGUGUGCCAAUUUAAAAAUGGAUAAGUAAUUAGGGAUAGAGAAAGUAUAUCGAAAUAAUAUAAUCAGAUAUUAUGCUAAAGAUGAUUAACAAAACUUUGAACAAUUAUAAAUAAGAUAGCAAAAAAAUCGAUUAGAUAAUACUUAGCAAAUUAACACGGUUCAACGAUUAGUGAUGGAAUCUGAAUAUGAUUCGGGAUUUUCACUAUUAAUGAAAUUCAAAAGGCAUAAUACAUAAAUGUGCCCUUUAACUUGACUUCAUUUUAUGUUUAUGUCGUUCAAUUUUGGGUAUGCACAUAAACUUGUAUAAAGUUGAACAACUAGCCACAUGAGUUCUACACGACACAAUACAUUUAAGACACCACGUAGGAUAAAAAAUGACAUGUAGGAUACCAUAUAGGACAUGUGUGUCUGUUUCUUCAACUUUAUACAAAUUUAAAUGUCUACUUGUGCACACCCGAAGUUGAAGGGCAUAAAUGUGAUUUGAAGCCAAGUUAAAUGGUAUAUUUAUGUAUUAUGCCUAUUCAAAAUAUGAAUAAGUAAACAUACAAAUUAGCUGACUACAAUAAUACAAAGAUAAAAAAACAAUUUUAAUUAUAUGUAUAAAUAGUAUAAUUUUCCAUCAAAGGUGGUUCAUUUGAUUCCUCACUUCUUUCCCUCAUUUAAAACUAUGCAAUAUGAGACUUUCAUGUCACAUGGAAUCCUUCUCUUUUUUUUUUUUGGAAAUCUUAAUAGCUCAGUUAACUAACUGACUAUUUGAAUUCUCGAUUCCCCAUACUGUAAUCCUCUACCCCAAUUUUUUUCAUUACCUUCCUCACAUAUGUAUAAGACCGAAUCCAAAGAACUAAGAUGAGAGAAUUUUGGGAGAGCCGCCACUCCAACUACUGCCAUGUAUUAUCCAUACUAGAUCUGACCAUCUGUCCAUCCUACCCUCCUCUACGUUCUUGACAACCCAUUUUUGUCUUAGUCAAGUCUUUUAGUGGCACAUUUUGACCUUCUUUUCCAUUACUUAGAAAAAGUGAGCUAUUAUUCAGAUACAAAAUACUAUCAUUAUCGCCUAGAAAAUUAGACAUUCAACCCGUAAUCACAAUGAUCCAAUUACAAAAGCUCUGAACCCCCUAGGUCUAGACUGGCUCUGGCCCCUGGUUUUAUCACUUGACCUUCACAUGAGUAAACUCGUUGAUAUAGAGGAUUACAGUAUCGAUUUCUUUAAAAGAAAAAAACCUUAAUUUAUAAAAGUUCAAAAGAUUUUAAUUCAAUGUUUGUAAGUAAAAAAACAUAUUUCAUAAAACGGUUGCAAAUCACAUCGAAUAAGUUCCAUUGAUUGGUGUAUGGUUCUCAUAAGGGAAGUAACAGCAGCAUAAGCCAUAUAUCCAAAAAAUAGGACUAUCUCUCACUCUCAGUAUGAAAAUGGACAAAUUAAUUGCCACAAGUUAUGAAAAUGGCUAGUCCUCAGAACACCUUAACUACUUGCUGCAGAAUAAAAAAAAGACGCAAAAAAUGGAAAAUAAUAUGUUAGAUGUCCCAUAAUUAAGGAACAAGAGAACAUUAUAGUAAGAAUGAGCAUGCAGGUAUAAGAACUUACUCAUUAUUGCGGCAAGAAGCAACUUCUUUCUCAAAGUCAUCAUCAUCAUCAUCUUCAUCUGUUGUUACAGUAUCAAAUACCAAUUUCUCGAGCUGAUAUAAGUAGCGAAAAUCAUACAGGUCCUUGUGAUUGCGAAAGUCCUCUGGGACGCCAAAUACUUUCAACUUCUUUAAAUUGGGAAAUAGUCUAAAAAAAGACCCUGUACAAUACCAAGGAUUCAAUUGAUUGAGGCAUUGCAAACUUUUCAAAACCAAUCUGUUCUCUGUAGGCUCAUGACUCUGCAAGUAAUUCCAGCCCAUACACAGCUUCCUCAAUUGUGGCAUUGUCAAAAUUUCCGAUGGUAAUAUGAAAGGAUAAGCACAAUCACGAAACGGAAAGUUAAACUUAAAAGUUUGUAGAUAGCAUAGGCUUGAUAUCGAUAGAGGAAUGUCUAUUAUUGAUGAGGGAACAGCUUUUAACGAUCCUCGAUACUGCUUUAAGCAAGGAUAAAAACACAAAGAUAGGUAUCUCAAAUGAAUUAGAGAAAGUACUCCACUGGGAAAAAUUGGGUAUAUAUUCAAACCAAGAUCUAGUACUCUUACUAGCUUGAAAGACAAUUCCAGUGUGAAGCAUUUCAAUCCACCCAACAUGAUAAUAGAAUGAGCCUCACUGUUACGACACCAAGCCAAUUCUUCCUUCUUAUAGAUACUGAUCCGACUUCGACUCUUAAAGGAACACUGCAUGGAUUGUGCACAUGAAUUUUGAUCACUCUUUCCUCUGAUAACAUUCACAAAAUUCAUGUUUCGAGCUUCCCUCAAACAGAGUUCACGGAUCACAUCAUGCAUUCCACAUCUCUCUAUUUCCCCAUCAAAACUCAAAUUGUGGAUAGAAAUUAGACUUCUAUCUACAAGUUCGUUUAUACAUGUUUCUGCCACCUCUUCUAUGCUUUUUCCUUCUUCUUCAUUCAAAAACCCCUCUACGGCCCAUAACUCAACAAGUGCAUUUACAUAAAUCCGUUCAUCCUCUGCGAAAAUUGCAAAAUACAGAAAACACGGUUUUAGGUGAGAAGGCAAGUGAUGGUAACUCAAAGCCAACACUCUCAUGCAUUUUGCUUCAAGAUCUCUGCUUACCACCGAACUUACAUUCUCCGCAACAUUUUGCCACUCAUCCAAUGUUUUACUGAUUUUGGAGAGAAGUCCAGCAAUCAAAGUAAUUUCUAGAGGUAACCCUCCACAUUUUAAUGCAAUUUGUUUCCCAAUAUUUUCAAAUUCAGGAGAAUAAGAACCUUCUUUUUCAAAGAUCUUUUUGUGUAGUAAAUUCCAACUUUCGUCAAAAUUCAUGAGGCGCAUNNNNNNNNNNNNNNNNNNNNNNNNNNNNNNNNNNNNNNNNNNNNNNNNNNNNNNNNNNNNNNNNNNNNNNNNNNNNNNNNNNNNNNNNNNNNNNNNNNNNNNNNNNNNNNNNNNNNNNNNNNNNNNNNNNNNNNNNNNNNNNNNNNNNNNNNNNNNNNNNNNNNNNNNNNNNNNNNNNNNNNNNNNNNNNNNNNNNNNNNNNNNNNNNNNNNNNNNNNNNNNNNNNNNNNNNNNNNNNNNNNNNNNNNNNNNNNNNNNNNNNNNNNNNNNNNNNNNNNNNNNNNNNNNNNNNNNNNNNNNNNNNNNNNNNNNNNNNNNNNNNNNNNCAUGUUCAGGUAAACUGACAAGUGAGCUAGUUUGUGGUUUUAGAUCUUUCAUGCUGUCCGAUGCUGCCAUCCACUGUUUCACGGUGGAAUCAAUGUAUUCUAGUGCUUGUUCCAAGACGAAAAAAAUCUCCCACAUAGCCCUGCUUCUUUCCUCCAAAUUCUGUGCUAAAAAAACAUUUCUUGAUUCCGAGUCAACCAUAUCUUCUGUUGUGUAUGCUACCUCUGCGAUUUCAACUUCCAAGAUUGUUAACCCCUCAUGAUCGCCCAUUAUAUUGCAGGAUUUCUCCAGAAUAGCUCUCAAAGAUUUGAGCUUUUCAUAAAACGGUUGCAAAUCACAUCCAGUAAGUUCCAUUGAUUGAUGUAUGGUUCUCAUAAGGGAAGUAACAGCAGCAUAAGCCAUAUAUCCAAAAAAUAGAAAUAUCUCUCAGUAUGAAAAUGGACAAAUUGCCACAAGUUAUGUAAUUUUUCAGUUUUUAAGAAAACAGAAAAUGCAAAGUUCUUUCUUUUACUAGCUAUUUCCAUCACAUUUCCAGCUAGGUCCACCAACCUUAUCAUCAUGUAGACAAAAGCAGAGACCAAAGUUAAAAAAAAGUAGAAAAAUUUGUGAUCAUUCAUUAUUAGACCGUACACAUAUCUAUUCAUGAAUAUAAGUAUGCUUCUUACAUACAAGAGAUUGAUGAUUUUAAUUACAUUGAAAGCAACUUAGUAGAAUUUUCCAAAUCAAAGAGAGAAAUAUUAAGAUCCAAGUAGGAAUUUCUCUAUUCCUAGUUCGAUUCAAUUAACCAAGCAUAAAUAUCUCUUAAUAUACAUGAGAAGUUUAGACUCUAAAAGUCAAAUCAACAAAAUAUUUAUGGGCUAACACAUGAAAAACUAUUGAGAAAAUCGCCUAAUUUCUGUAAAUUGGCCCUUAAAUCUCCAAAAUGAACUCUAAAAAUUGUCAGACUGUACGUAUUGCUCCCCAACUCCCUACUGAGGGUUCUGUAAAGAUUUCGAUUAGAAUUCGUCCGUAAGUCAUAUCACCAAUAUAUUAAUGACUAACACACACGAAAAACUGAGAAAAUUGUCUAAUUUCUUGAAAUUGGCCCCUAAAUGCCUAAAAUGGACUCUAAAAGUUGUGAGACUGUACGUACUGCUCCCCCGACUCCCUACAGAGGGUUUCGUAAAUGUGUAGCAAAGAAAUCGUCUGGAAGUCAUAUCACUAUAAUAUUAAUGGGCUAACACACACAAACCACUGAGAAAGUCGCGUAUUCCUGUAAAUUGGCCCCUAAAUGCCCAAAAUGAACUCUAAAAUUGUGAGACUAUGUACUGCUCCACUAACUCCCUAUGGAGGGUUCCGUAAAGAUUUCACAAAGAAAUUAUUCGGAAGACAUAUCACCAAAAUAUUUAUGGGCUAAUACAUUUUUAUUUGUCCAUUUGAUUUGACAUAUCUUUCAAGUACUUUGAUCUGGUUAUACUUUUUUUUUAUUGCUAAAAAUAAAUAUCCACUUUUACUUGUUCAUUCUACAAAACAAAGACAAUAUUUUAUUGCUUGAUUCAGAUAUAAAAUUUGAGUAGGCUAAUUUACAAACCAUCUGUAGUCAUCCUGCCCCUAUGCUAUAACAUUUGAAAGAAAGAGGUCAUCAUCAUCAUAUUCAUCAUCGUUGUCAUCUUCAUCAUCAUCUUCAUCAUCGUUGUCAUCUUCAUCAUCAUCUUCAUCUUCUUCAUCAUUAUCAUCAUCAUCAUCAUGAUCGUCAUCGUCACUUGUUUCCUCACUGUUGAAAAAGCCAGCAACAAAAGAUGAAAAAUGAAAUGUUAUGCAAGUAUAACAAGUUACACAAUUACUAUAUUGGAAGGAUUUAAAUCAUAUACAAUGACAACGUAUGAACUUUUACACUAUAGGUGCCAUUUAACUGCUUAUUAAAGCAAUUUAUAAUUAUUUUAUUACUAGUUCUGGACACGUGCUUUGCAUGUGUAUAUUACACGUUUAGUCACGAUUGUAAGAGGGUGUACACCAGGAUCAUUCGAAGAGCAAAGUCGUGUGAGCCUUACAGAUAUUCUUGACGUACUCCUAUUAAAAUCUGUAUCAUAUUCGUAACUUUUUGAAUGAGGUUCACCUUUUUCCUCAUUGUACUUUGUACAUGGAUGUUGUCCAUCACAAUAUCCCCUUUUUCAAAUUUCAUAGCUGAACUACUAGGUGUACGAGUUCCUACCAGAACUACUACCAACUAUUUAUCAAAACACACAUCAACUAUAUAUGAGUUGUUCCCUUUUACUAGUGGUGACAAAUAGGUGGAUUUGGACGGGACUGAAAAUGGAUUGAGCAACAUGGUCGUAACUCACUUAAUCUCUUAAAGCCAGAAAACUUUAAAGAGUUAAUUGAAAUAAACUUAAUGACUAUCCUACUUGAAGUAUCACCGUCGUUCAGGUAAGAAAAAGGAAGUAUAUCAAGGAAGAAGAUGUCUUACAAAGCCUGAUGGAUAUGGACCUCGAUAGAACCUCCAUAGUUGUCUUGAAUGUCCUGUUGAAUCUGCUUUGCGGAAUUCCCAACAGAUUCUGGGCAGUUUCUUAUAUAGAUUAGAGCAAGUGUGGUUAUAUCUGCAAAAUCUUGAGGGAUUGAGUCCAAAAACCUGCAACUAUCAAGAAAUAGUCGUUCAAGGCACGGAAAGUGAUCACAACUAGCUCUCCAGUACUGAAUAUGUGAUCUUUUAAGUAACAAGAACUUCAAAAAAGGAAACCCUUCCUCAGCUACUUCCCACUCCCUGCCUCUGCAUACACCCUGUGUUAGUUCAAGAAGUUCAAGUUUGGGCAAUUUUCCGACAACAAUGCUUAAAUCCUUCCAUGACAAGAAGAAAUUUCCUGUAAAAGUUAAAUUCUUAAGGUUUCGUGGAAAAGCAUCUGGAGGAGGUAAGAUCAAAGAUGGAACAACUUCUACAACAAGUGGAUUCCUUGUCUGAAAACACAUUCUCCUCUCCAAAAAGUAAGCAUUAUUUUGAGGAGGAAGACAAAAUGCUAGUUCCUCGAGAUGAUCUAAGUAGCGAAAAUCAUAGAGGUCUUUGUGACUAUGGAAGUCUUGUGGGAUGCCACGUACUUGCAACUCCUUUAAAUUGGGAAAUAGUCUAAAGAAAGAUGCAGUACAAUAGCUAGGAUUCCAUCCAAACAGAGAAUGUAAAUUUUUCAUAACCAAACUUUUCUCUGUAAGCUCAUGAUAUCGCAAGUAAUUCCGAUCCAAAUGAAGGUGCCUCAACUGUGGCAUUGUCAAAAUAUCUGAUGGUAAUAUCAAAGCAUGUUUACGAAGAUUAAUGACGAGUGGAAGGUAAAGUACCAAACUUUGCAGAUAGCAUAGGUUUGAUAUGGAUGUAGGAAUGUCUACUCUUGAUGAGAGAACAUCUUCUUCGGAUCCUAGAUAUUGCUCAACGUUAGGAUAAAUACGCAAAGCUAGGUGUCUUAAGUGAAUCAAAUAAAGUAUUUCACGGGGAAAAGUUAGACAGAUAUUAUCAGCAAGAUCUAGAACUCUUACUAGCUUGAACGGCAAGUACUCCCUCAUGCAACAUCGGAAUCUACCAAAUAAGAUAACAGAAUGAGCUUCACUGUUAAGGCACCUAACAUACUCUUUCUUAUUAUGGAUGCUGAUUCGACUUCGACUCUUAGACAAACACUGCAUGGAUUUCACAUAUGAAUUUUGAUCAUUCUUUCUUCUGAGAACAUUCACAAAAUUCAUGUUACGAGCUUCCAUCAAACAGAGUUCACGAGUCAUAUCAUGAAUUCCACAACACUUAAUUUUUCCAUCAAAAGUAGUACUUUUAAUGGAAAUUAAACUUCUAUCAAUAAGAUCUUGUAGGUACUUUUCUGCCACUUCUUCUAUGCUUUUCAUCUCUUCUACCUUCAAAAAUCCCUCUGUUUCCCACAAUAUCAUAAGUUUAUUGACAAAAAUCAGUUUAUCCUCUGGGAAGAUUGCGAAAUAUAAAAAGCAUGGUUUUAGGUGGUGAGGCAAGUAAUGGUAACUCAUUGCCAACACCCUCAUGCAUUGGACACCAACAUCUGUGCUUACUGCUGAACUUACAUUUUCAGCAACACUUUGCCACUCACUCAAUGCUUUGUCAAUUUUAGUGAGAAGUCCCGCGAUCACAACAAUUGCUAGAGGCAAUCCUCCGCAUUUCAAUGCAAUUUGCUUUCCAAGUUGUUCAUAUUCAGGGGAGAAAGAGUCUUUCGUAAAGACUUUUUCAUAUAAUAAAUUCCAACUUUCGUCAAAAUUCAUGAGGCGCAUGUGAUGAGGAAGCUUACCUGAGCUAGCAUAUUCAGCCACUUCCACAUUCCGAGUAGUCAAGAGUAUUCGGCUUCCAUUAUGAAAGUCUGGGAAACAUAUUUGUAUAUCAUCCCAAGCUUUUGUAGUCCAUAUGUCAUCAAUGACUACCAAAUAUCUCUUGCCUUUUAGAAGCUUUUGCAGUCGAUCUGCUAGUUGCCCGUCAUGUAGCUGAUCAUAAGGUUUAUCACUUAUACAAGAAAGAAGGUCUAGGAAAACAUUUCUCACACAAUACUCUUGUGAAACAGUAGCUUUUGCACGUAUGUCAAAGCGAUACAUCAUGCAUGGAUCGUUGUAGAGUUUUGUUGCCAAAGUUGUCUUGCCAAUGCCUCCCAUACCUACAAUUGAUACAACUUCUAGUUCUCUUUCUCCUCUAGCAAGUUGAUCCAGCAUCAUCUUGAAUUCAUUUUCAUAGCCAACCAUUAUAACCUCGGACCGCUCAACAGCAAGUUCAGGUAUCUUGGAUAGACAGAAAUUUUGUGCUUUGAAAUCUUUAAUGUUGUUGUACCAGUCCCAUAUUGCCAACCACUGCAUCAUGAAGGAAUCAAUACAUUCUACCUCUUGUUCCAAGGAACAACAGAGUUCCCAGAAAGCUUUGCUUCGUGUAAUUACAGUUUCUGCAGAAGAAACUUUUCUUGAUUUCGAAUCAACCAUGUCUUCUGCUUUGAAUGCUACCUCCGUGAUUUCAACUUCCAAGGUUGUUAACCCCUCAUGAUCGCCCGUUAUAUUGCAGGAUUUCUCUAGAAUAGCUCUCAAAGAUUCGAGCUUUUCAUAAAACGGUUGCAAAUCACAUCCAUUAAGUUCCAUUGAUUGGUGUAUGGUUCUCAUAAGGGAAGUAACAGCAGCAUAAGCCAUAUAUCCAAAAAAUAGGAAUCUCUCACUCUCAGUAUGAAAAUGGACAAAUUAAUUGCCACAAGUUAUGUAAUCUUUCUUUUACUAACUAUUUCCAUCACAUUUCUAGCUAGGUCCACUAACAGGAUAAAGUAGAAAGAUGUGAGGUCACUAACCUUAUCAUCAUGAAGACAAAAGAAGAGACCAAAGUUAAAAAAAAAAAAAGACGAAAAAGUAGAAAAAAUUGUGAUCAUUCAUUAUUAGACCCUACACUAAUCUCUUCAGAAAAAUAAAAUAAAAUUUUAGUUUAAAUAAAGGAAUUCAAGCUGUAUAUUGAUAACGUCCAAUUCAAAUUCAAGUGUAGUACGGUCUAGCAAUAAUAAACUCAACAAAAGUUGGAGUCGAGGAGUACGCUUGUGUCAAGGUGACAGAGAGUGUGCGAAUUUGCUAACAAACAAAAGGUCUUUCUUUUAGCUAGGUCCAUAAUCCAUGUAGUGCUCUAUACUCUCUAGUCUCUAUCAACCAGCUCAAGUUUAAGGGUGUGUUUGGUAUGGAGGAAACAUUUUCUCUAGAAUAGGGAGAGAUUUGUGCAUAAACAAGGAAGAAUCUCUCAGUAUAACAGUGAAUGGGUAUUUUUUUAAGAUUUGCUUCUUUUGUGUAUGACUUUUGUAAGAAACAUUCUGGUAAAAGUUAAAAAAAAUGAUCUUGUGGAAUAGCCACAGUGAAUUCCUUAAUAUUCGAGUAGAAAAAGCCAGAGAGGAUAACAUUGCUAUUUGUACACUUAUCGUGACACGAGUAGUCUCUUAAAUAUUACACCUUUCUACUGAUGUUGCUGAUGCCACUGGAUUUAGCCUUCCGUCUUCCUUUGCAAGGUAGAUCGAGGACUCCCAAGAAAGGAAACACAAGUUACUGGAGUCUGUUCUGGCCUAUACAGUAUGUAUGUACAUAAAAUUUGGAGUAUCUAAAAACCACUGACAAAUGGCUAUACGAAAGAUCAUAUACAAUUAAAUUACAAGCCAUUUGCAAUCAUCCUGCCCCUUUAUGCAGAAUCUUUUCAAAGAAAAUGAAAACGAACAAAACAAACACUCACACAUUUGGCUUCUGAUUUGACAUUUAUUUCAGAGAACUGGCUAGUCGCUGCAGGAAAAAAAAAGACGCAAAAAAUGGAAAAUAAUAUGUUAGAUGUCCCAUAAUUAAGGAACAAGAGAACAUUAUAGCAAGAAUGAGCAUGCAGGUAUAAGAACUUACACAUUAUUGCGGCAAGAAGCAACUUCUUUCUCAAAGUCAUCAUCAUCAUCUUCAUCUGUUGUUACACUAUCGAAAAUGCUAGCUACAAAAGAUGAAAAAUGAAAUGUUACACUUCCCAAAAUCAAGAAUGAGCAUGCAAGUAUAACAAGUUACACAAUAUUGGAAGGAUUCGAAUCAAUCACAAUGACAGCAUCAAGAACUUUUGUUGAAUUGGUGUAAUUUGACUUACUAAAGCUAUUAUCCAGAUUAUUAUCGAGUUUACUAUAAUGAUGAGUUAAAUAUUGUUGUAAAUCAAGGAAGAAGAUGUCUUACUAAAGAUUACGAGUAUGGACCUCGAUAGAGCUUCCAUAGUUGUCUUGAAUGUCCUGUUGAAUUUGCUUGGCGGAAUUCCCAACAGAUUGUUGACAGUAAUGUAUAUCAAUAAGAGCUAGUGUGGUUAUAUCUGCAAAAUCUCGAGGGAUUGAAUCCAAAUACUCGCAAUUUCUAAGAAAAAGUCGUUCAAGGUACGGAAAGUGAUCACUACUAGCUCUCCAGUACCGAAUGUAUAUUUGAUCCAGAAACAAGAACUUCAAGUGAGGAAACCCUUCCUCAACUACUUCCCACUCCUCGCCUAUGACGGCAUUGUGUGAUAGUUUAAGGACCUCGAGUUUGGGUAAUUUACCAACAAUGCUCAAAUCCUUCCAUGCCAAAAGGAAAUCUCCUCUAAAAGUUAAACUCUGGAAAAGAUUAAUUAACAAAAAUUUAUGGUACUAAUUGGGGUAUUAAUUAACAUAUCCUUACUUGAUCACAUAUGUAUUGUUCUGUGUGAAAUUUUCCUCUGACUGAUAGUUGACUAAAUUAUAUUGCAUACGUUCGUGUACAUUUUCUCACUUGGAAGAGUGGAUUUGGACGUAAUUAACUAUCACCAUCGUUUAGGUAGAAAAAAGAAAAUAACUAAUAGUUGAAUGUUUUAAUACAUAGAUGAUCAACUAAUAUGAGAAGAAAAGAGUAGCGUAAAUGUGAGAUUCACUUCUCACCAAGAAUCCUCCUUUCUUAUUAUUUUCCUUUUAGAGGUUAAUAAUUAUUAAGUAUCCCUAGAAUAAUUUAUUGAAAAAGUAGAUUUGAAAGAAAGCAAUUACUCUCUUCUUCCUAUGCGGGACUUCUUGAACAUAACUAAUUUGACAAAAACCACAAUUUUAUUUAUUUUUAGGUGGAAUUAUAUCAAUAAGGAACUAUAUAUGCUUAUGAUAUUAAUCUAAGACCAUUAUUUGUUACUUGAACACAUGGAUUCAUCAUCUGAACAAUUGAAACAAUUAAUACUUGUGUGAACCUUUUUUUAUUUCGAGUGAUGUGUCAUAAUCAUUAGCCAACUAAGACUAGCGUUAAAUUUUUGGUAAGUCUCAAGAAGUGUAAUUAAUACUUAAUAAAAUAAUCUCAUCCUUGAGAUUCAAGAACUUGUUUGGAUUGAAUAGGUUUUUAUCAUCAAGAUCUAGAACAAAGUCUUAAUAUUAGUAAGAGGUAUUUUUGUGUGAAAAGUUUUCUUUGAGGUUCGAGAAAUGGAAUAGAUAUGGACUACAAGUUGAUAUUUCCCAUUGGAAAAUUCACACAAAAAGGAACAAGGAAUUCUCAAUGAAAAAAGCGCUCUCCAAAUCUGUUUAGUAUUUGUCAUGAGGUUCUUAUCAUAAUUGGAUUUUCCUUUUAGGAAAAGGUAAACACAGUCUCCAUAUUUGUCUAGUUCUUUUUCUUGUAGGAAAAAAAUUAUGACUCUAUAAAUAGAUGUUUUGUAACAUCCGACAAUUUGAAAUAGCUAAGAAGAGGCUUGAAAUUUGGAAAUUUUCAAUUUUUGGAAAGGAUUUGAAAAUCUGGAAAAUUUGGCUAAGUAUGGGAAAGGUGAGUUUUUUUGGGCCCAAACUUUGAACAACCAUAAAUUCUAGCUCAGGAUGAGUUAGGUGGAGUUCCGGUUAUGUUUGCAUAGCCCUCGGAACGACCUUUCCAACGCCACUGAGUUUGCUCAAUUCUGAGUUCGUAUGAGCGAGUUAUGGCCAUUGAAAGUUGGGCAGUUGGCAGGGAAUCCGUCCGGAAAAUUAAGGGCAUUUUAGUCUUUUCCCUAGCCAAUUCUUUUGGGAUUAUAUUGUUGUAUAGGGCUGAUCUUUAGAUCAUUUUGUCCCAUUUUAAGAAAUUAAAAUCUAGGGCUUGAGAGUGAAGAAGAGAAGAAGGAGAAGAAGAAGAGAAAAAUCGAGGAGAUCAACAAGUUUCCGACAAGAUCAUCGUGAAUGUUCGUCGGGGGUGAUCCCUAUCAAGGUAUGUGAGCUUUUAGUGUUGGGUGAUACUUUCCCCCACACACCUAGCCCCUUUUAUUUAUUAAGGAAGGAUUGGUUAUGUUGUUAAAGUUGUUAGUUGUUGUGGUUGAAGUUGUUGGAGUUGUUAAAGUUGUUAGUUGUUGUUGUUGGAAUUAUUGUUGGUGGUGGGACAUAAUUGAGUUGUGUUUUUAUGUUGAAAUCUAUUGAAUGUUGAGGGAUUUUAUGUUUCUAAGUGAUUGGGGGCUGGAAUCUUUGAGGUUAGAGGGUUUAGAGUUGGUAACGUGAAGGAGAAAGUCGGGUAGCUUGCGAGGAGCAUGUCUGCGUCGCGGACUUGUUCCUCUGUGAACAAAAAAUCUUCUCCGCGUCGCGGACAGGACGCAGACUCCACUGUUUUCAGAAUUUAUGUUCGAAGAUUUUCUUAGGUUUGGCUGUCCCAAAUCAUUCGCAAAUCAUUCCUAAACAUCAUGAGACCCUUCCAAACACCAAUCAAGUCCUUGAAUCCAUAAUCCAAUUCAAGGUGAGUUAUGAUCAAGUCAAGUGAAGUUAGUUUUCAAGUCAAGUGAAGUUAGAAGUCAAGUGAAGUUAGAGCCAAGCUUAGAAGUUAAGCAAGUCAAAGCAAGUCUUUAAAGCUUUUCAAGAGUCUUCAUUGAACGUUUUGACUUCAUUCUAAGGCUCAAGUUCCAAGUUAAGUAUAGAGUUUCAAGUCAAGCAAAGAGUCUCAAGUUUCAAGUUAAGUAAAGAGUAUCGAGUUUCAAUUUAAGUCAUAAUUUUUCAGUCAAGAGUCAAGAGUUGAGUUCAAUUCUCAAAAGUAAUUAGGGAACUAAGUAUUUCCCAAAGAAGUUUUAUAAGUGUUUUCACAUUUAAGUUGAGAGGAAACGGAGAUUUCCAAAAGAGUUUUGAGAAGUUUGAGCACUAUCUCUUUUAAAAGAAAAGAUGAGUUUUUGAAAAAGAGUUUCUAAAUUAUGAUUAGUAUGACAAAUGGAGUAUGUCAUCAAUGUUUAAACAGUAUGGUCUCUAGAUAUACCAUCAAUGUUUAAGCAGUAUGAAUAUCCCGAGUCAUCAAUGAUCAUAAAAAAAAAAAAUGUGGUUUUGACUUGUUCUAUUUAGAAAGAGUUUUCAAGUGCCUUCGGGCUAAGUUUUGAGUAAUUAUCUCAACUAAAGAAAGAUGUGCUUAAAACACUUAUGAGCUAAAGUAUUUUGGGAGUAGUAUCGAGCACCGAAUUGGGGAAACGAGUUCAUAUUAAACUCAACUCUCCAUAAGAACCAUGUAGCCAAACAUGGGAUUUCUCGGAUCAUACUUUUUAGAUGAUCACGAAAGUUAAGCUAGUGGAUCCAUUAAGCAAAAGUUAAAGUAAGGUCCUAUAUCGAUGGCAAGGUAUAGGAUGGUCCUUGGGCAACGUGAGGUAAAACGUUGUAUCACCACUCAGAUUCAUAGUGGUGGUUUGUCGGUUAGAGAAGCUCCCACAGUAGAAAGAGCAUGGUUCCUCGAGGGUUCUGCUUAGUAUGGAUGGGGGUAUGGGACUUCAUUCAUGCAUUGCACAAGUAGACUUUGAGAGGAAGCAUGGUAUUUUUAUGAUAUUAUAAAUAUGAUUUUUACGUCAUGUUUUAAUAGUUUCAAAAGCUUUAUAUAUAUUGCAUGUGUCUCAUUGCUUUAUAUUAAGUUCAGUUAUUCUUGAGUUGUACAGAGCCAAGGUAAGUUCUCUUUUGUAUCCCUUUUCAAGCUUAAGUUGUUGUUUAGCGGUCCAGCUCGCAUACUCGUACAUUCCAUGUACUGAUGCCAGUUGGCCUGCAUCUUAUGACGAUGCAGACACNNNNNNNNNNNNNNNNNNNNNNNNNNNNNNNNNNNNNNNNNNNNNNNNNNNNNNNNNNNNNNNNNNNNNNNNNNNNNNNNNNNNNNNNNNNNNNNNNNNNNNNNNNCAGUCAGUUAGUUUUGAGUCUCUCAUCUAUGUAUAUAUGUAAAUAUUCUAUUUUGAGACUCGAGUGGCCUUUUUGGCCAGAUGUGUAUCAUUUAAGUUGUUUAUGUCUUUGCAUGGCAUUGAGUUAUUCUGUUGAGUAGGUUUCCGCUGAGUUAAGAAAGCCAGGCCAAGGGUUCGCUUGGGGCCAGCAAUGGUCUCUGAGUGCCGGUCCCGCCCAGGGUGUAGGCUCGGGGCGUGACAUGUUUAUUCAUUCUAGCUUGGUAGCAUUCAUAAUGCAAUCCUAGGGGGCUUUGAGAGUUUUGUGUAUUGUGUGAAGCUAGAGGAAGAAUGUAUGAGACACAAGUAUUACUUUAACACUUGUGUGAACCUCUUUGUAUUCAGAGUGAAUUGUGUGAGGUUAUUCUUCUCUAGAUUUUAUAGUGAUUUUUUCAUCUCCUCUUGUGGAUGUAGAUCGGUUGACCGAACCACGAUAAAUGUUUGUGUCUUUUGAUAUAUUUCUUGUUUGUCUUAUUACUCAUCGUCUUUCAAGGUUUGCUUUGCUAGCUUUUGCAUGACACCUAAUUAUUUCAGUCCCAACAAGUGACAUCAGAGUCAGGUUCAAUGGUUUAAUGAUUCAAUGGUCGAACCAUGUUAAAAAUAAGUGUUCAUCUUGACGGGUUUAGUUCUAGCCGUAACAUAUUUGACAGUAAUGAAGAUUUUUGUUGGAGAAAUAUUUUCAAAGAUGUUUUCUGUGUUGAUAUAUAUAUAUAUAUAUAUAUAUAUAGAUUUUGCAGAGGAGAUGCAAGGUAUUGAAGAUUAUGUGAAGAAGGUGGAUCAAAUUUAUUUUGUCAGAAAUUUAGGCCAAUGGAGAUAUUUGUUUAGUAUUUGUCAUGAAUUUCUUAUCAUAAUUGGGUUUUUUCUUUUAGAAAAAGGAAACCACAAAGUUUCCAUAUUUGGCUAGUUCUUUUUCUUGUAGGAAAAUGUUUGACUCUAAAAUUAUAUGUGUAUUCCUUCUAGCCUAAUAGCAUUUACAAUGUAGUCCUAAGGGGCAUAGAGAGUUUUGUGUAUUGCGUGUAGCUAGGGGGAGAAUGUGUGAGACACAAGUGUUACUUUAACACUUGUGUAAACCUCUUUGUUUUUCCAUUGAAUUGUGUAAGGUUAUUCCUCUCAAUAUUUUGUACUUUCUUUUAUAUAGUGAAUUGCUCAUAUCCUCUUUUGGAUGUAGGUCGGUUGUCCGAACUACGUUGAAUAUUUAUGUCUUUUGGUAUAUUUUUCGUUUGUAUUAUUACUCAUGGUCUUUCAAAAUUUGCUUUGCUAGCUUUUGCCUGAUACCUAAUAAUUUCAGUCCCAACAAAACCAAACGUGAAAGUUGUUUUCCAGCAGACAACUUUUCUAGUAGCUCUACUCUCGACUUGGAUAAUUUAACCAAAAAGGUACGCUUUCGGCCAUUCUACAUGCUGCCUAUGUAGAGACAUGUUUAUCUAAAGUGGAUUCUCUUUUUUGUAGUAGGUAUCAAACCUGUUAUGCCCAUUGACUAAGAAGCUAGGGGUGGACACAACAACUACAUGGACCUCUUUCUUACAUCGGCCAUCACUAUUAAUCGUCUUUGUUAUCACAAUGACCACCACUAUUACCGUCAUCAAACAUCUCUGUCCUCACAAUUACCAUUAUUAUCAACCACUACUAUAUAUCAAACAUUUGCUAUAUUUAUGUUUUUUAUUGACAUAAACAAUGGGUUAACAUGAUAUAAUUUAUUAGUAGUUUUAUAUAUUUUUCUUAUAAUAAAGGAAACAAUCACUUAUACAUUCUUUGAGAUCAUUUAGUUUAAAAUCAGGAGUGGAAUCAUAACUAGGGUUAUAGCUUAGCAUCAAUUCACCUUCUUAAUUAAUGGGAUAAUUUAAUUAGCUAAAUUUGAAUGAAAAGAAGAAGAAAUUGAUUAAUUUAAUUCGUUUACGUUCCAAUGGGGUGUGCAAUAUCCAUAAAUUUGUCAUGUCGUUAUUAGGUGUUCAUGAGAUGCACAUAUUCCAAGCAAAAGUACCUAUUUGAUCACUAGAUGAGUUUAAGUAUUCAAUUUACAAAUUCUGCCAAAUUUGAGGGACUAUCUAGGUAUUAUUUAGAUAAAAUUAUUUGUAUAGUCCACUCUAAACAUACUUAUAAUUAAGCAAGUAACAUAUACUAUAUAAAGAAGCUUCUAGAGAUAAUUAAAGUUAACUCUAUAUAAUUAGAGUUGCAAUAACAAAUACGUCAAAACAUUAAAGUGUUUCACCAAUAAAGUCAUUUUUUUAAUGUCCAAAACUAAUCCAAUGGAAGCUCUAUUAUGUGGAACACCAGAAGAAGUUUCAGUAUUGUUGGUACAUCAUGAAGUAGAAUUUCUUACUAAUCAGACUGUUAAAUUGUUAGAGGCUUAUAAAUACAAAGGUGACAUUCUAGAAUUUUUUUAACUUUUUUGUUUCUUUGAUAUAAUAACUAAAUGCCGUGUGACAUUUUUUUUUAUAUAUAGAGAGAGAUUGAAAUGAUAUGCUUUUUGUUAUCUCAUUUAUGAUUUUAGCAUCGUCCAUUUUUAAAUUUCAUUUAUCUUGUAAAUCUUGAACUUUUCUUUUUCCUUGUUAUCAUAGCACUUUUUAAUUUUUACAAAUUUAUCUAUCCUCGAAGAAAAAUAAUUCUACAUUAGUGAUGGAUGCACAAGAAAUUAGGAUGACGGGAGGGAAGAGAAAGAGCACGAAAAAGACAUGAUAAGAGAUGAUCUGUCUAUCAUUAUUACUUGAGAUAAUAUUUUUUUGUCUUUUAUUGGAUGUAUAAAAAAAAAUGAGGAGAUCUAAUUUUCAUUAAAAAAACAUUUCCCUUUCUAUUUUUUGUUUUUGUUUUUCGUUGGACGUAGACAAAAAAUUGGCAACUCCUUUCUUAUACUUUGUUAGAUCAUCUAAUUACAUAUCUAUGAAAUAAAAUUACCUCAAAACAUUUUAUCCUAUUAUCUUUUGCUUUAAUAUUUAUUUGUUUUUGACAAGCCAUAAAUAAAUUGGAAUAGUUUUUAGAAAUAUAUUCUUUAGGAUCUUCUCUAGUUUUUAGUAAUCCAAUUAACGAAAAAAAAAAACUAAUAUAUACUUUUUAUGUAACCAAUCUAGUUAAGAUUGCACUCAUCAUUUAUAAUAUAAGUUGAUUAAUAUGUGUUAUUUUAAAAAUUAAAGUGCAGAAAUAUAACAUGAAAAUUCACAGUUGAAUUUGAAUAACAAACAAACAUAUCCAAAUGAUACCUUUGUGUACAAUAUUUUUUUUUUCAUAAUUUUCACUGAUUUCAAAUUGCACGGGUAUAUGUAGUUACGGAAGUUAUGGCUCCUGCGGCAAUGUCAAUGCUUUUCAAAGAAAAGAAAAAAAUUGAUGCAAUGAUAAUCAAGGUCAUUUCACCGGAUUCACAUUGCUUUGAGCUCCUGGCACAAGCUGUAACCUUGAACAUCAUCGUAGUAAGUAAGUAUUUAUAAUUCUAUCUUCCACUUAUUAUUAUAGACGGUAAAGUAAGUUUUUUUAAUUAACUAUUGCAUAAUGUAUAUAAUAUUAUUCAAUUUUAAUUGCUAUCUUCUUGAUAUAAUUAUGCAGUUGUCUAUGAUGAACUCAAUGAAUUCUUAGUGAAGAAAGCUUUGGACAAUGGAGCUUACAUUUGCUCGAAGAAGCCUCUUGUCGAGCAAACUAUGACAUUCUUGUGGCAAUUUGUAUGGAGGGAGAAAACACAAAGAGGGAAAUCAAUAAAAAGAGUAGAAACAAAGGGAGAUCAUAUUUUUGUUUGAAGUUAUUGGAGUUCUGAGAAAACAAUAGGUCGUGGUUUUUUCCUCCCUUGAGCAAAGAGGUUUCCACGUUAACAUAUGUGUUCUUACUUUAAGCAUUUAGAUUACUUCUUGUUAUCAGUAUAGUCAAGUGGUCAGAACACGAGAAGACAUGUCACUAAACAACAACAUAUAUAGGAAAAAACAAACUCUGCUAAGUGAUCGAUCCGUGUGUGAUAGUUGCCUUCUUAACCUUGAACUAUUGCUUCCUGCUAGAUUAUAUGAACUUAGAUAUGUAUACAAAUUAGUAUUCAAUGAGUUCCCAAACAUUCGUGCAUAAACAAUUUCCCCUGUUGUCGUGCCACCAGGACUUAGCAUAUGUUCUGUAUUUGUAUAAUUUCGAUGAUGAUCAUGAGAUUGCUGGGAUAAUGGAGGCAUAUUAUUAUUGUGUAUUAGACCGUGACUCCUACAUCUCGAACUAGGAGGUCUUUGUGGUAUGACUAUACCAAAAUUCUAUACCAAAAUUCGGGGCCUUAAUUUCAGAUGUUUUUGUAGCUUGACAGCGACCAUAGAGUGGAAUCAAUGUUUUUUGUGAGACUUCAGCUUUGCAAACAGGGCAAUUUGGUUGUUGGUUAUCGAUGUUCUCUGAUGAAAUGGUCUUAAAAUGUAUCCAUUUGUAGAUGCAAGGCCAACAAUAGGAGGUGACCACAUAAUGUAACAACAGGAUCAUGUACAACAUCUAGGCAAAUGUUGCACUCGAAACCUCCAGGUGAAUUUUCUUCAAGUUUAUCAAGAUCAAUUGUCUCCAUUUUUCAAAGGAAAUAUCGCGUUGAUCAAAGGUAGUUUCUGCUAUUUGGUCUUGAAAAAUUUGUUCUAAGGCCAUAUUUGCCUCUUGGUAUUGAAUUAUUUUGGUAAUGGCAAGAUGAAGAAUGGUUAGAAUUCAGGUUUUUAAUACAAUUAGAAGUGAGUAUUUAUAAGGACAAAGAAUAGUAGUUUGCAAACAAUGAUUCUUAAGGUUGUCACUUGUCAACAUCACAUUAUGUUAAAGGGGCAUGGCCAAAAAGAAAAGGCCCUACACAUUAUUAAACAACACUAUAUCAUAUUACUCAACAGUCUUGAUUUAUGGGGUAUUGUUUGAUUUGAUAUAACAUUUAAUAAGAAAAUGAAGACUUUUAAAAUAUGUACUGUAUUAAAGAUAAAAAAUAAAUUUUAAGUUUUUCGAUCCUAGAAAUGAUAUUCUUUUUAUAUUAAGACUAAAACAAAUGUUUUACAUAAAUUAAGAUAGAUGAACUAUCAAACACAUCAUAAUUAAGUGAUUUAAUGAAGUCAAAAAUAAAUAUUAAUGGAUCAUGGUUAAGUGAGAGGAGUUUUGUGCAAACACGUCUUUUAUCUAUCUAUUUGAUUUAAACAAGCAUAAGUUUUAUCAUAUUAGAAAUAUGAUUAGGACCUUAUAUUAGGCCCCAUGAUAGGAAUCUUAAUCUAGAAAAUAACUUUUAGUCAAUAAAAAGUAGCACUAGUUGCGUACAAGGAGCUACCACUUGAUGACCUUCCACACUUCCACAUCCCAUAAGUUCAAUAGUUUUCACACUAUAAGAACUAGAUGUUUUUUUCCGCGUGAAUCAAUAAAAUUUUUAGUUUUAUGUUAUAAAACAUGAUUUUUUUCAUUUUGAUUUUAUUAAACUAAUUCACUAAGAAAAUUCAUAACGAAACAUAAGUUCUCAUUGAAAUACUGGAAAUAGUCACUUGGAAAUUUAUGAGUUUUAGGAAAUUAUGCAUCAAAACUUAGAAAGACGCGGCUCAUAUAGAAAUUUGUUGUUAAAUCAUAAUAUAUACUUUUACAUCUGAAUAUCUUUAUUGAUUUGGUUAAAAUUAUAAUUAAAAAAAUUACAAUACAAUAUAUAUAGAUUCACAUAAAUUUAAUACUGUAAGUUCAAUUAUUAUUCAAUUAUUAUUAUGAUAUAUUAAUCUAAAAUUAUUAUAGAAGCUUCUAAACUCUAAAUUCAGAUCCAACUAAGGAGUGAAUAUACAUAGUGGGGGUCUGGGGGAUGGGAGAAAACAUAUGGACGGUGUGACAAAUAAAUAAAAGAAAUACUCCGUCCAUUCCAUUUGACUUAGUAUUGUUUGACUUAAUACGAUGUAUAAGAGAAAAAAAAGAUUUUAGAAAAUUAUAGGCUAAAACAAUUUUUAUAUAUUUAUAUAAUUGUAAAUCAUUUCAUUAAUUAAGGGUAGAUGGAGAAUUUUAAGUUUAAUUAUUUUCAAUUACAAUAAAAUGACAUUUUUAAAGACGGAUUAUGAGAAUAGAGUGCCACGUAAAAUAAAACGAGAAAAUACUACUCCCUCCUUCCCAUUUUAUAUGUUACCUUUUUACUUUACAUUUACAUUAAGAAAUAAUGUAACUUUACCCUUCUACCCUUAUUUAAUGUUUUCUUAAGUUAACUUUAUAACUCCCUCCGUCCCAUUUUAUAUGUCAUCUCUUUCUAUAAAUAGUUGGACCACAAUACUUGUCAUUUUAUAAAAUUUAUGUAUAAAUUACCAUAUUUUACCUAUUAUAUCCUUGAUAGAGUAGUUAAUUAAUCUUGAAAAUAUAUUCAUCAUUUAUUAUAAAUUGACUUAAGAAAAUAUUAAAUAAGAAUAGAAAGAUAAAAUUACAUCAUUUCUUAAUAAAAGUAUAAAGUAAAAAUGUGACGUAUAAAAUAGAACGGAGGGAGUACUACAAAAGAACGAGUCCGCACAUGCAUUAUACAAGUACUACAUGUGUCUCGAAUUUAGCAGCCUUUUGUCAACUUUUUAUAUUUUGGCUUACUUGGAAGCAAGUCUAUCCUCUCCUAUACAAUCAAUUAGGGUGGCCAUUAAUCAUAUAUUAUUAGGCUAAAGAUAACAUAUUGCUCCCUCCGUUUUUAAUUAUUUAUCCAUUUUUUUAGUUAUUCCUAAUUACUUGUCUAUUUUUACAAAUCAAGAAAGAACAAUUUUUUUUACCUAUUAUACCGUCAAUUUAUUACUUUGAAAAAAGUAGAACUUUUUGAAAAUCUUGAGUUUUUAAUUCAUCCACUUCAUAAUUAAUAUGGAUAAAAUGGUAAACUCACUAUUUCAAUAAUUGUUUUCUUAAUAGGUGUGCCAAUUCAAAAAUGGACAAGUAAUUAGGGAUAGAGAAAGUAUAUCGAAAUAAUAUAAUAAGAUAUUAUGCUAAAGAUAAUUAACAAAACUUUGAACAAUUAUAAAUAAGAUAGCAAAAAAAUCCAUAGUAAAUUAACAUGGUUCAACGAUUAGUGAUGGAAUCUGAAUAUGAUUCAGGAUUUUCACUAUUAAUGAAAUUCAAAAGGAAUAAUACAUAAAUGUGCCCUUUAACUUGACUUCAUUUUAUGUUUAUGUCCUUCAACUUUGGGUAUACACAAAUAUGCACCUAAACUUGUAUAAAGUUGAACAACUAGACACAUGAGUCCUACAUGACACAAUACACAUAAGAUACCACGUAGGAUAAAAAAUGCCAUGUAGGACAUGUGUGUCUAUUUUUUCAACUUUAUACAAAUUUAAAUAUCUACUUGUGCACACCCAAAGUUGAAGGGCAUAAAUGUGAUUUGAAGCCAAGUUAAAGGGUAUAUUUAUGUAUUAUGCCUAUUCAAAAUAUGAAUAAAUAAACAUAUAAAUUAGCUGACUACAAUAAUAGACAGAUAAAAAAUAAUUUUAACUAUAUGUAUAAAUAAUAUAAUUUUUCAUCGAAAGAGGUUCAUCUGAUUCCUCACUACUUUCUCUCAUUCAAAACUAAGCAAUAUGAGACUUUCAUGUCACAUGGAACCCUUUUUUUUUUUUUUGGAAAUCUCAGUAGUUCAGUUAAUUGACUGACUAUCUGAAUUCUCGAUUUCCCAUGUUGUAAUCCUCUACCCCAAUUUUUUUAUUACCUUCCUCACAUAUGUAUAAGACCGAAUCCAAAUAUCUAAGAUGAGAGAAUUUUGGGAGAGCCACCGACUCCAACUACUGCCAUAUAUUAUCCAUAUUAGAUUUGACCAACUAUCCAUCCUACCCUCCUCUACGUUCUUGACAACCCAUUUUUGUCUUAGUCAAGUCUUUUAGUGGCACGUUUUGAUCCUCUUUUCAAUUACUUAGAAAAAGUGAGUUAUUAUUCAGAUACAAAAUACUAUCAUUAUCGCCUAAAAAAUUAGACAUUCAACCCGUAAUCACAAUGAUCCAAUUACAAAAGCUCCGAACCCCCUAGGUCUAGACUGGCUCUGGCCCUAGUUUUAUCUCUUGACCUUCACAUGAGUAAACUCGUUGAUAUAGAGGAUUACAGUAUUGAUUUCUUUAAAAGAAAAAAACCUUAAUUUAAGGUAUGGAGGCCUAGAAAGGAAACACACGUUAUAUAUGGAGCCUGUUCUGGCCUAUACAGUAUAUAUGUACAUAAAAUUUGGAGUAUCUAAAGAACCACUGACAAAUGGCUACGAAAGAUCAUAUACAAUUAAAUUACAAGCCAUUUGCAAUCAUCCUGCCACCUUAAGCAGAAAAAAUGAAAACGAAUAAAACAAACACUCACACAUUUGGCUUCUGAUUUGACAUUUAUUUCAGAGAACUGGCUAGUCCUCAGAACACCUUAACUACUCGCUGCAGAAAAAGAAAAAAAAGACGCAAAAAAUGGAAAAUAAUAUGUUAGAUGUCCCAUAAUUAAGGAACAAGAGAACAUUAUAGCAAGAAUGAGCAUGCAGGUACGUAUAAGAACUUACACAUUAUUGCGGCAAGAAGCAACUUCUUUCUCAAAGUCAUCAUCAUCAUCAUCAUCUUCAUCUGUUGUCACACUAUCGAAAAUGCUUGCAACAAAAGAUGAAAAAUGAAAUGUUACACUUCCCAAAAUCAAGAAUGAACAUGCAAGUAUAACAAGUUACAAAAUAUUGGAAGGAUUCGAAUCAAUCACAAUGACAGCAUCAAGAACUUUUGUUGAAUUGAUGCAAUUUGACUUACUAAAGCUAUUAUCCAGAUUAUUAUCGAGUUUACUAUGAUGAUGAGUUAAAUAUUGUUGUAAAUCAAGGAAGAAGAUGUCUUACAAAAGAUUCACGAGUAUGGACCUCGAUAGAGCUUCCAUAGUUGUCUUGAAUGUCCUGUUGAAUUUGCUUGGCGGAAUUCCCAACAGAUUGUUUACAGUCACUUAUAUCAAUAAGAGCUAGUGUGGUUAUAUCUGCAAAAUCUCGAGGGAUUGAAUCCAAAGAAUAGCAAUCUUUAAGAAAAAGUCGUUCAAGGUACGGAAAGUGAUCACUACUAGCUCUCCAGUACCGAAUGUAUACUCUAUCCAGAAACAAGAACUUUAAGUGAGGAAACCCUUCCUCAACUACUUCCCACUCCUCGCCUAUGAAGGCAUUGUCUGAUAGUUUAAGGACCUCGAGUUUGGAUAAUUUACCAACAAUGCUCAAAUCCUUCCAUGCCAAAGAAAAUUUUCCCCUAAAAGUUAAACUCUUAAGGUUUUGUGGAAAAGCAUCCGGAGGAGGUAAGAGUAAAGUUGGAACAUCAGUUGGAGGUGCAGUUCCCCCGAAACGAGUCUGAAACCUCAGAGGAUCUUGCGGAGUAGAACCUGAAGGUGCAGUGUUUUUUAGAAAGCAAGCAAUAGGUGAAUAAUAAAUACCAAAUGUCAAUUUCUCGAGCUGAUAUAAGUAGCGAAAAUCAUACAGGUCCUUGUGAUUGCGAAAGUCCUCUGGGACGCCAAAUACUUUCAACUUCUUUAAAUUGGGAAAUAGUCUAAAAAAAGACCCUGUACAAUACCGAGGAUUCAAUUGAUUGAGGCAUUGCAAACUUUUCAAAACCAAUCUGUUCUCUGUAGGCUCAUGACUCUGCAAGUAAUUCCAGCCCAUAUGCAGCUUCCUCAAUUGUGGCAUCGUCAAAAUUUCCGAUGGUAAUAUGAAAGGAUAACUACUAUUGGGAAAUGGAAGGUAAAGUUUAAAAGUUUGCAGAUAGCAUAGGCUUGAUAUCGAUAGAGGAAUGUCUAUUAUUGAUGAGGGAACAGCUUCUUUCGAUCCUCGAUACUGCUUUAAGCAAGGCUUAAAACACAAAGAUAGGUAUCUCAAAUGAAAUAGAGAAAGUACUCCACUGGGAAAAAAUGGGCAUAUAGUCAAACCAAGAUCUAGUACUCUUACUAGCUUGAAAGACAAUGCCAGUGUGACGCAUUUGAAUCCACCCAACAUGAUAAUAGAAUGAGCCUCACUGCUACAACACCAAACCAAUUUUUUCUCAUUAUGGAUUCUGAUCCGAUUUCGACUCUUAAAGGAACACUGCAUGGAUUGUUCACAUGAAUUUUGAUAACUCUUUCCUCUGAUAACAUUCACAAAAUUCAUGUUUCGAGCUUCCCUCAAACAGAGUUCACGGGUCACAUCAUGCAUUCCACAACUUUCUAUUGUUCCACGAAAACUAAAAUUGUGGAUGAAAAUUAAGCUUCUAUCUAUAAGUUCAUUUAUACAUGUUGUUGCCACCUCUUCUAUGCUUUUUCCCUCUUCUUCAUUCAAAAACCCCUCUACGGCCCAUAAUUCAACAAGUUUAUUUACAUAAAUCUGUUCAUCCUCUGCGAAAAUUGCAAAAUACAGAAAACACGGUUUUAGGUGAGAAGGCAAGUGAUGGUAACUCAAAGCCAACACUCUCAUGCACUUUGCUUCAAGAUCUGUGCUUACCACUGAACUUACAUUCUCCGCAACAUAUUGCCACACACCCAAUGUUUUACUGAUUUUGGAGAGAAGUCCAGCAAUCACAGUAAUUGCUAGAGGUAACCCUCCACAUUUUAAUGCAAUUUGUUUCCCAAUAUUUUCAAAUUCAGGAGAAUAAGAACCUUCUUUUUCAAAGAUCUUUUUGUGUAGUAAAUUCCAACUUUCGUCAAAAUUCAUGAGGCGCAUGUGAUGAGGAGGCUUACCUGACCUAGCACAUUCAGCCACUUCCACAUUCCGAGUAGUCAGGAGUAUUCUGCUUCCAUUAUAACAGUCUGGGAAACAUAGUUUUAUAUCAUCCCAAGCUUCUGUAGUCCAUAUGUCAUCAAUGACUACCAAGUAUCUCCUGCCUUUCAGAUGCUUCUGCAAUCGGUCCGCUAGCUGAUCAUCAGGUUCAUCACUUAUCGAAGGAAGAAGGCCUAGGAUUACAUUUCUCACACAAUACUCUUGUGAAACAGUUGCUUUUGCACGAAUAUCAAAUCGAGACAUAAUGUAAGGAUCACUAUAGAGUUUUGUAGCCAAAGUUGUUUUCCCGAUACCUCCCAUCCCUACGAUUGAGACAACUUCUAGUUCCCUUCCUCCUCUAGCAAGUUGAUCCAGCAUCAUCUCAAAUUCAUUUUCACGGCCAACCAUUAUAUUCUCGGGCUGCUCAACAGCAUGUUCAGGUAAACUGACAAGUGAGCUAGUUUGUGGUUUUAGAUCUUUCAUGCUGUCCGAUGCUGCCAUCCACUGUUUCACGGUGGAAGCAAUGCAUUCUAGUGCUUGUUCCAAGACGAAAAAAAUCUCCCACAUAGCCCUGCUUCUUUCCUCCAAAUUCUGUGCUAAAAAAACAUUUCUUGAUUCCGAGUCAACCAUAUCUUCUGUUGUGUAUGCUACCUCUGCGAUUUCAACUUCCAAGAUUGUUAACCCCUCAUGAUCGCCCAUUAUAUUGCAGGAUUUCUCCAGAAUAGCUCUCAAAGAUUUGAGCUUUUCAUAAAACGGUUGCAAAUCACAUCCAGUAAGUUCCAUUGAUUGAUGUAUGGUUCUCAUAAGGGAAGUAACAGCAGCAUAAGCCAUAUAUCCAAAAAAUAGAAAUAUCUCUCAGUAUGAAAAUGGACAAAUUGCCACAAGUUAUGUAAUUUUUCAGUUUUUAAGAAAACAGAAAAUGCAAAGUUCUUUCUUUUACUAGCUAUUUCCAUCACAUUUCCAGCUAGGUCCACCAACCUUAUCAUCAUGUAGACAAAAGCAGAGACCAAAGUUAAAAAAAAAAGAAAAAAGGCAGGACUCUAACAGGAAAAAGUAGAAAAAAUUGUGACCAUUCAUUAUUAGACCCUACACUUAUCUAUUCAUGAAUAUAGGUAUGUUUCUUACAUACAAGAGAUUGAUGAUUUUAAUUCCAUUGAAAGCAACUUCGUAGAAUUUUCCAAAUCAAAGAGAGAGAAAUAUUAAGAUCCAAGUAGGAAUUUCUCUAUUCCUAGUUCGAUUCAAUUAACCAAGCAUAAAUAUCUCUUUAAAUAUAUAUGAGAAGUUUAGACUCUAAAAGUCAAAUCAACAAAAUAUUUAUGGGCUAACACAUGAAAAACUAUUGAGAAAAUUGCCUAAUUUCUGUAAAUUGGCCCUUAAAUCUCCAAAAUGGACUCUAAAAAUUGUCAGACUGUACGUAUUGCUCCCAACUCCCUACUAAGGGUUCUGUAAUUUCGAUUAGAAUUCGCCCGUAAGUCAUAUCACCAAUAUAUUAAUGACUAACACACACGAAAAACUAAGAAAAUUGUCUAAUUUCUUGAAAUUGGCCCCUAAAUGCCUAAAAUGGACUCUAAAAAAUUGUCAGACUGUACGUAUUGCUCCCAACUACCUACUAAGGGUUCUGUAAUUUCGAUUAGAAUUCGCCCGUAAGUCAUAUCACCAAAAAUAUUAAUGGGCUAACACACACAAAACACUGAGAAAGUCGCCUAUUCCUGUAAAUUGGCCCCUAAAUGCCCAAAAUGAACUCUAAAAUUGUGAGACUAUGUACUGCUCCACUAACUCCCUAUGGAGGGUUCCGUAAAGAUUUCACAAAGAAAUUAUUCGGAAGAUAUAUCACCAAAAUAUUUAUGGGCUAAUACAUUUUUAUUUGUCCAUUUGAUUUGAUAUAUCUUUCAAGUACUUUGAUCCGGUUAUACUUUUUUUUUAUUGCUAAAAAUAAAUAUCCACUUUUACUUGUUCAUUCUACAAAACAAAGACAAUAUUUUAUUGCUUGAUUCAGAUAUAAAAUUUGAGUAGGCUAAUUUACAAACCAUCUGUAGUCAUCCUGCCCCUAUGCUAUAACAUUUGAAAGAAAGAGGUCAUCAUCAUCAUAUUCAUCAUCGUUGUCAUCUUCAUCUUCAUCUUCAUCAUCAUCUUCAUCUUCAUCAUCAUCUUCAUCAUCAUCUUCAUCUUCUUCAUCAUUAUCAUCAUCAUCAUCAUGAUCGUCAUCGUCACUUGUUUCCUCACUGUUGAAAAAGCCAGCAACAAAAGAUGAAAAAUGAAAUGUUAUGCAAGUAUAACAAGUUACACAAUUACUAUAUUGGAAGGAUUUAAAUCAUAUACAAUGACAACGUAUGAACUUUUACACUAUAGGUGCCAUUUAACUGCUUAUUAAAGCAACUUAUAAUUAUUUUAUUACUAGUUCUGGACACAUGCUUUGCAUGUGUAUAUUACACGUUUAGUCACGAUUGUAAGAGGGUGUACACCAGGAUCAUUCGAAGAGCAAAGUCGUGUGAGCCUUACAGAUAUUCUUGACGUACUCCUAUUAAAAUCUGUAUCAUAAUAUCUGAUGAAAUCAGCUACUGAUCAGUCAAGCUCUCCAUUGAUGUAGACUUCAACUACACAUGAGAAAGAAUGAGAGAAGAAGAGAGAAGAGAAGAGAAGAAGAAUCUAGAAGAGCAACAUGAAAAUUAAUCUCUCAUUGAAUGUGAAUUAAAACUACAAGAAUUACAAUGUGACUAUAUAUAUAUAAUCACUGGCAGAAAUUAACUAACUAACAAACUUGAUUCUAACUAACUCUACUGUACAUAGAUUCUAACUAACUCUACUGUACAUAACCGACUCUACUGUACAUAACUAACUAAUUAUACUUUAUAUUCUCAUCACCCCCCCUCAAGUUGGAGGUGAUGUAAUUACAGACAACUUGUGCAAUAAGGCAGUAUGUUUAACUCCAGUCAGAGCCUUGGUGAAGAUGUCUGCCAACUGUGAAUCAGUGGGAAUAUGAUGGAGUGUGAUUAGGCCUUGUUGAAGCUUGGUCCUAACAAAGUGACAAUCGAUUUCUAUGUGCUUUGUCCUCUCAUGAAAAACUGGAUUCUUUGCAAUGUGGACUGCUGCUUGACUGUCACAAUGGACAGGGAUAGGUAAGGAGCAUUGUACAGUCAACUCAUCCAACAAUCGUUCAAGCCACACUAGUUCUCCUACAACUUGUCUCACAGCUCUAUAUUCAGCUUCAGCAGAUGACAAAGACACUGUUGCUUGCUUCUUAGACUUCCAGCUGACAGGACUAUCACCCAGAAGCACUAGGUAUCCACUAACAGACUUCCUGGAAUCAGGGCAAGCAGCCCAAUCAGAAUCACAAUAAGCACUGAUAGUGAGAUCAGGCUUGUUUGAGAUAAAAAUUCCCAAUGUUGGAUCCUGUUUCAAAUAUCUGAGCACAUGGUAUGCUGCUUUUAAAUGUGGUUCCCUAGGUGAUUGCAUAAAUUGGCUCAAGUGUUGUAUACUAUAAGCUAUGUCCAUUCUAGUGUUGGUCAAAAAAUUUAGCUUACCAACCAACUUCCUGUAUUGAGUAGGAUCAGAUAAAAGAUUGCCAUCUGUAGCUGUUAACUUCUCAGUGCAAUCAAGUGGUGAUGUAGUGGCCUUGUGACUUAACACAUCAAAAUCUUUCAGGAGAUCAGAAGUGAAUUUCCUUUGUGAAACUAGCACUCCAUCAUGUCUGUAUAAUAUUUCCAGUCCCAGAAAGUAGUGUAGUUUGCCCAAAUCCUUUAUCUUGAACUGAUCAUUUAAGAAGCUCUUUAAGGAGUUGAUUUCAGCCACAUCUGUUCCAGUUAGAAUUAUGUCAUCCACAUAUACAGCAACAAACACCAAGGAGCAGCCCUUCCUUUUGUAGAACAGUGAGUAAUCACUGUCUGAGUGCUGAUACCCUCUUGAACAUAGACAGUUUGCCAACUUCUCAUACCAUUGCCUGCUGGCCUGUUUUAGUCCAUACAAAGACUUCUUCAAUUUGCACACCAUGUUAUCACAACCUACUACAAGACCUUGUGGAGGUGCCAUGUACACUUCCUCAUGCAAAUCACCAUGUAAGAAUGCAUUAUUGACAUCUAGCUGAUACAAGCUCCAAUCUUUCUUAACAGCUAAAGAGAUUAAUGUUCUAACAGUAGUCAUUUUAACUACAGGUGAGAAGGUUUCAGUGUAAUCUACCCCAACUUGUUGUGUAUAACCUUUGACCACCAACCUACACCCCAGCUUGUUGUGUAUAACCUUUGACCACCAGCCUAGCCUUGAACCUCUCCACACUCCCAUCAGCUUUGUGCUUGAUUUUGUACACCCACUUGCACCCAAUAGCUUUCUUCCCAUCAGGUAACAUGACCAUCUCCCAAGUGUCAUUAGCAUACAAAGCUUCAAACUCCUGUGUCAUGGCCUGCUGCCAGGCAGGGUGCAAUAUUGCUUCCUCAAAUGAAAUAGGCUCACAUUCAUGUGAAAUGGUUGUUACUAACUGCUGACUAUCAGAACAAAGACUGGUGAAACAUACAUGUUUAUGGGGAGAUAUAAAGGAAGUGAGGGAGUGCAGCUUAGGUAUAGUGUAGGUGUAUUCUUUUAGGUAAUUAGGAGUGUGUAUGGUUCUGGUUGUUCUUCUAGGUGCUGAUAUUGUAGGUACUGGUAAAGUAUCAUGAUGCAUGGUGGCAUUUGGAUCAGGUAAGGUAGGUUGAGUUGUAGUAGGUUGAGUUGUAGGUUCAUGUAGGACAGCAGGUGGUACUUCAUUCAUGUUGGUAUUACUGGUUACUUGAUUAUUAGUGACUUCAUGUGGUGUGAAAUUUUCCAGUUGAUCAUCAUUAGCAAAAAUGUUCAUUUUACCAGACAUACAAGGCAUGCUAGUGGUAUGAGUAAGCAUUUGCAGAAUGGAAUUGAAACUAGAACCAUCAGGGGCAAUAACAAAAGGAAAAAUAUUUUCUUGAAAAAUAACAUCUCUUGAUAUAUGAACUUUCUUGGUAGCUAAAUUCAAAACUUUGUAACCUUUUGUAUUGAAAGGGUAACCAACAAAAACAUGAGGUGUGGUUCUAGGUUCAAAUUUAUCUUUGUGAGUUUUCAAGGUAGUGGGGAAACAAAGACAACCAAAACUCUUAAGGUGGGAAUAUGUAGGUGAUUUAUGGUACAACAUUUCAUAUGGAGAUUUAUUCUGUAAAAGUUGAGUGGGCAGUCUAUUAAUCAGGUAUGUGGCAGUCAAUACACAUUCCCCCCAGUACCUCAUAGGCAACUUUGACUGAAACAAAAGUGCCCUUGCUGUUUCAAGUAGGUACUUAUGUUUCCUUUCUACCACCCCAUUUUGUUGAGGUGUAUAAGGACAAGUUCUUUGGUGUAUGAUACCUUGUUUUGGAAGAAAUUUGUGGCUUCAGCUGAAGUAAACUCUAACCCAUUGUCAGAUCUUAUGGCUUUUUAACUUGGUUUGGAAUUGGUUUUCUAUGAGAGAUAUGAAGGCUUUGAUAGUUUGGAGAGCAUUACUCUUACAUCUCAGCAAUUGUGUCCAAGUGGACCUACUGUGGUCAUCUACCAUAGUGAGGAAAUAAUGAUAUCCAUCAUGAGUGGGAACAUGAUAUGGUCCCCAUAGGUCAACAUGUAACAACUCAAACACUUUAGUGGUGGUGGUGAUACUUUCUGGAAAAGGCAUCCUAGUUUGCCUAGCCAUAGGGCAUAUAUUGCAAGUAAAAGGCUGUUUAGGAGAAAAAUGAACAGGUAUAGUUGAGAUAUUUUUCAUUUUUACAAAAGGUACAUGUCCUAAUCUAGCAUGCCACAAAAGUUCAUCAUCAUGAGUGUGAUUAGAGACAUUUGUAAAUGAAGGACAAGCAUGAGUAAAACAAGAGGAAGGAAAAACAGUACAAUCUGCCUUAUUCAUAGGAGAGUAUUUUACAGAAGAACCAGUGGACACAUUAGAAUCUGAAACCCUGCUAGUAUUGCCUAAAGAAGAGACAAGAGGACAAUUAACAUGAGGUGCUUUACUCUCAGCAGAUGGACAACAAUUGUGGCAUUUGUGACACAAGAAGUACAGGCCAUUCUUGGCUUUACCAAGUUCCAGAGGGCUCUUCAGAGAAGGGCCCUGCAGCAAACAAGAAGAUUUGUCAAAGCUGACUACACCAUUGAAUUGUAGUGCUAAACAAUGAACAGAAAUGAGAUUAAACUUGAAGCUAGGUACAAACAACACUUUGCUUAGAGUCAAAGCUGGAUUUAAACAAGCAUCACCAAUUUCAGUCACUUUAACCUUGUAACCAUUAGGGAGUGAAAUUAGAAAGGGAUAUGGAAGUGAAAUGAUGUUUGUGAGGGUGGUCUUAUCAUAGGUCAUAUGGUGUGAUGCUCCUGAAUCUAUGAUCCAAGAGCCAGCAGUCAGUUUAACACAUUUACAAGAAAGAUCACCUAUAUCAGUAAUAGAGGAAUAACAUGCAAGUAUACCUGCCAAGUUCACAGCUCCAUUCAGCAUGUUGUUUGAGUUGUCUGAGGCUCCAUUUCCAACUUGUAAAGUUCCCAGGAGAUUGAGUAGUUGUUCAUAUUGAUCUUUGGACAAGUUCAAUGGCAUUUGUCUCCUUACUUCAGGUUCCUCUUCAGAUUGAACUCCAUUCAUAUCAGGGGCACACACAUUUGCUGCAGCUUUUCCCUUUUUGAACCUUGGAUUUGGAUUGGAUGGGUAUCCAUGAAGCUUGUAACAUCUAUCCUUUGUGUGUCCUGAUUUCUUACAGUAGUCACAAAACAAAGAAGACUUGCCAGUGCUAGAAUUGCCUCUAAACCCAGUAUUACCAGAAUUGGUUCCACCUCCUCCAGAUGAACUGUAGUUUGUCCGGAAUCCCCUGUAUCCUGCACUGCUGUUGGUCUGUCCAUAAGCAUUGAGAGAGGUAGAAUCCAAGGCUGUAUGAUUAUGAGGCUUCACCUCCCUUUGUUUUUCCUCUUGGGAUAAUAUGGCAAAAGCUUGAGCCAUGCUUGGAAGUGUGUUCAUCAUGAGAAUGCUGCCUCUGACAGUCGUAUAUAUCUCAUUCAAUCCCAUUAGAAAAUGUAUCAAUCUUCUGUCUUGUUCAGCCUUGUGUAAUUUGCUUUUACCCCCACAAAUGCACACACAAGUACACUGAGAAUUGACAUCAAUGGUACUCAUUUCCUCCCACAACUUCUUCAUUCUUGUGUAAUAUCCAGUGAUGUCUAAAGUGCCUUGGACCAGAUCAUUAAUUUCCUUCUGCAGUUGAUACAAUUUACACCCAUUGGUUUGAUCGUACCUUUCUUCUAGUUCUCCCCAAAGCUCCUGAGCAUUAUUGACAUACUGCAGACUAUCACGCAAAUCUGGUGACAAGGAAUUCAGGAUCCAAGAUGUGACCAUAUCAUCACACCUUUCCCAUUGCUGAAAGCUAGGAUCAGUAGGAUCAGGUCUCACAACCUUCCCAUUAAUGAAUCCUGUCUUGCUCUUAACAGAUAAAGCCCUGAGAACUGCUCUUCUCCAGGAUCUGUAACCAGUUCCAUCAAAAACUGCAGGUAAUAGGGAUGAACUUGCAUUCUCAGAUGGAUGCAAGUAGAAAGGACUAGGGAUUUCUACCCUAACAGUGGAUGCAGAAGCAUUUGGAAUGGAAUCAUUUGAAGAAUCGACCAUUGUGAAUUGAAAAUUGGGAAGAAGAUCAAGUCGAGAACAACCAGAUCAAACAGCGUUCACAAACAAAAUUGACAGAUCGAAGAUCCAGUCGAGAUCAACCAGAUCAAAGAAAAAAUUCACAUAAGAGAAAACGAAGCUCACAGAUUGAAUUGGAAACAAAAAAAAACAGGAGCAAUUCCCUGUGCUUUGAUACCAUGAUGAAAUCAGCUACUGAUCAGUCAAGCUCCUCCAUUGAUGUAGCUUCAACUCACAUGAGAAAAGAUGAGAGAAGAAGAGAGAAGAGAAGAGAAGAAGAAUCUAGAAGAGCAACAUGAAAAUUAUCUCUCAUUGAAUGUGAAUUAAAGAAGUGAGUAUUACAAUGUAUCUGUAUAUAUACACAAUCACUAAGCAACUAAUAAUCAUUGGCAGAAAUUAACUAACUAACAAACUUGAUUCUAACUAACUCUACUGUACAUAACCGACUCUACUGUACAUAACUAACUAAUUAUACUUUAUAUUCUCAUCAAUAUCCCUUUUUUCAAAUUUCAUAGCUGAACUACUAGGUGUGCGAGUUCCUACCAGAACUAUUACCAACUAUUUAUCAAAACACACAUCAACUAUAUAUGAGUUGUUCCCUUUUACUAGUGGUGAAAAAUAGGUGGAUUUGGACGGGACUGAAAAUGGAUUGAGCAACAUGGUCGUAACUCACUUUAAUCUCUUAAAGCCAGAAAACUUUAAAGAGUUAAUUGAAAUAAACUUAAUGACUAUCCUACUUGAAGUAUCACCAUCGUUCAGGUAAGAAAAAGGAAGUAAAUCAAGGAAGACGAUGUCUUACAAAGCCUGAUGGAUAUGGACCUCGAUAGAACCUCCAUAGUUGUCUUGAAUGUCCUGUUGAAUCUGCUUUGCGGAAUUCCCAACAGAUUCUGGGCAGUUUCUUAUAUCAAUUAGAGCAAGUGUGGUUAUAUCUGCAAAAUCUUGAGGGAUUGAGUCCAAAAACCUGCAACUAUCAAGAAAUAGUCGUUCAAGGCACGGAAAGUGAUCACAACUAGCUCUCCAGUACUGAAUAUGUGAUCUUUUAAGUAACAAGAACUUCAAAAAAGGAAACCCUUCCUCAGCUACUUCCCACUCCCUGCCUCUGCAUACACCCUGUGUUAGUUCAAGAAGUUCAAGUUUGGGCAAUUUUCCGACAACAAUGCUUAAAUCCUUCCAUGACAAGAAGAAAUUUCCUGUAAAAGUUAAAUUCUUAAGGUUUCGUGGAAAAGCAUCUGGAGGAGGUAAGAUCAAAGAUGGAACAACUUCUACAACAAGUGGAUUCCUUGUCUGAAAACACAUUCUCCUCUCCAAAAAGUAAGCAUUAUUUUGAGGAGGAAGACAAAAUGCUAGUUCCUCGAGAUGAUCUAAGUAGCGAAAAUCAUAGAGGUCUUUGUGACUAUGGAAGUCUUGUGGGAUGCCACGUACUUGCAACUCCUUUAAAUUGGGAAAUAGUCUAAAGAAAGAUGCAGUACAAUAGCUAGGAUUCCAUCCAAACAGAGAAUGUAAAUUUUUCAUAACCAAACUUUUCUCUGUAAGCUCAUGAUAUCGCAAGUAAUUCCGAUCCAAAUGAAGGUGCCUCAACUGUGGCAUAGUCAAAAUUUCUGAUGGUAAUAUCAAAGCAUGUUUACGAAGAUUAAUAACGAGUGGAAGGUAAAGUACCAAACUUUGCAGAUAGCAUAGGUUUGAUAUGGAUGUAGGAAUGUCUACUCUUGAUGAGAGAACAUCUUCUUCGGAUCCUAGAUAUUGCUCAACGUUAGGAUAAAUACGCAAAGCUAGGUGUCUUAAGUGAAUCAAAUAAAGUAUUUCACGGGGAAAAGUUAGACAGAUAUUAUCAGCAAGAUCUAGAACUCUUACUAGCUUGAACGGCAAGUACUCCCUCAUGCAACAUCGGAAUCUACCAAAUAAGAUAACAGAAUGAGCUUCACUGUUAAGGCACCUAACAUACUCUUUCUUAUUAUGGAUGCUGAUUCGACCUCGACUCUUAGACAAACACUGCAUAGAUUUCACACAUGGAUUUUGAUCAUUCUUACUUCCGAGAACAUUCACAAAAUUCAUGUUACGAGCUUCCAUCAUACAGAGUUCACGAGUCGUAUCAUGAAUUCCACAACACUUAAUUUUUCCAUCAAAAGUAGUACUUUCUAUGGAAAUUAAACUUCUAUCAAUAAGAUCUUGUAGGUACUUUUCUGCCACUUCUUCUAUGCUUUUCAUCUCUUCUACCUUCAAAAAUCCCUCUGUUUCCCACAAUAUCAUAAGUUUAUUGACAAAAAUCAGUUUAUCCUCUGGGAAGAUUGCGAAAUAUAAAAAGCAUGGUUUUAGGUGGUGAGGCAAGUAAUGGUAACUCAUUGCCAACACCCUCAUGCAUUGGACACCAACAUCUGUGCUUACUGCUGAACUUACAUUUUCAGCAACACUUUGCCACUCACUCAAUGCUUUGUCAAUUUUAGUGAGAAGUCCCGCGAUCACAACAAUUGCUAGAGGCAAUCCUCCGCAUUUCAAUGCAAUUUGCUUUCCAAGUUGUUCAUAUUCAGGGGAGAAAGAGUCUUUCGUAAAGACUUUUUCAUACAAUAAACUCCAACUUUCGUCAAAAUUCAUGAGGCGCAUGUGAUAAGGAGGCUUACCUGAGCUAGCAUAUUCAGCCACUUCCACAUUCCGAGUAGUCAAGAGUAUUCGGCUUCCAUUAUGAAAGUCUGGGAAACAUAUUUGUAUAUCAUCCCAAGCUUUUGUAGUCCAUAUGUCAUCAAUGACUACCAAAUAUCUCUCACCUUUUAGAAGCUUUUGUAGUCGAUCUGCUAGUUGCCCGUCAUGUAGCUGAUCAUAAGGUUUAUCACUUAUACAAGAAAGAAGGUCUAGGAAAACAUUUCUCACACAAUACUCUUGUGAAACAGUAGCUUUAGCACGAAUGUCAAAACGAUACAUCAUGCAUGGAUCGUUGUAGAGUUUCGUAGCCAAAGUUGUCUUGCCAAUGCCUCCCAUACCUACAAUUGAUACAACUGCUAGUUCUCUUUCUCCUCUAGCAAGUUGAUCCAGCAUCAUCUUGAAUUCAUUUUCAUAGCCAACCAUUAUAUCCUCGGACCGCUCAACAGCACGUUCAGGUAUCUUGGAUAGACAAAAAUUUUGUGCUUUGAAAUCUUUAAAGUUGUUGUACCAGUCCCAUAUUGCCAACCACUGCAUCAUGAAGGAAUCAAUGCAUUCUACCUCUUGUUCCAAGGAACAACAGAGUUCCCAGAAAGCUUUGCUUCGUGUAAUUACAGUUUCUGCGGAAGAAACUUUUCUUGAUUUCGAAUCAACCAUGUCUUCUGCUUUGUAUGCUACCUCCGCGAUUUCAACUUCCAAGGUUGUUAACCCCUCAUGAUCUCCCGUUAUAUUGCAGGAUUUCUCCAUAAUAGCUCUCAAAGAUUCAAGCUUUUCAUAGAAUGGUUGCAAAUCACAUCCAGUAAGUUCCAUUGACUGGUGUAUGGUUCUCAUAAGGGAAGUAACAGCAGCAUAAGCCAUAUAUCCAAAAAAUAGGAAUCUCUCACACUCAGUAUGAAAAUGGACAAAUUAAUUGCCACAAGUUAUGUAAUCUUUCUUUUACUAACUAUUUCCAUCACAUUUCUAGCUAGGUCCACUAACAGGUAAAGUAGAAAGAUGUGAGGUCCCUAACCUUAUCAUCAUGUAGACAAAAGAAGAGACCAAAGUUUUUAAAAAAAAGACAGGAAAAAGUAGAAAAAUUUGUGAUCAUUCAUUAUUAGACCCUACACUAAUCUCUUUAGAAAAAUAAACUAAAAUUUUAGUUUAAAUAAAGGAGUUCAAGCUGUAUAUUGAUAACGCCCAAUUCAAAUUCAAGUGUAGUACGGUCUAGCAAUAAUAAACUCAACAAAUGUUGGGGUCGAGGAGUAUGCUUGUGUCAAGGUGACAGAGAAUGCGAAUUUGCGAAUUUCCUAAGCUUAUCUACAAAUAAAAGGUCUUUCUUUUAGCUAGGUCCAUAAUCCAUGUAGUGCUCUCUACUCUCUAGUCUCUAUCAACCAACUCAAGUUUAAGGGUGUGUUUGGUAUGGAGGAAACAUUUUCUCUAGAAUAGGGAGAGUUUUGUGCAUAAACAAAGAAGAAUAUCUCAGUAUAACAGUGAAUGUGUAUUUUUUUUAUGAUUUGCUUCAUUUGAGUAUGACUUUUGUAAGAAAAUUCUGGUAAAAGUUUAAAAAAUGAUCUUGUGGAAUAAGCACAGUGAAUUCCUUAAUAUUCGAGUAGAAAAAGCCAGGGAGGAUAACAUUGCUAUUUGUACACUUAUCGUGACACGAGUAGUCUCUUAAAUAUUACACCUUUCUACUGGUGUUGCUGGUGCCACUGAAUUUAGCCUUCCGUCUUCCUUUGCGAGGUAGAUUGAGGACUCCCAAGAAAGGAAACACAAGGUACUGGAGUCUGUUCCGGCCUCUACAGUAUGUAUGUACAUAAAAUUUGGAGUAACUAAAAAACCACUGACAAAUGGCUAUACGAAAGAUCAUAUACAAUUUAAUUACAAGCCAUUUGCAAUCAUCCUGCCCCUUUAUGCAGAAUCUUUUCAAAGAAAAUGAAAACAAACACUCACACAUUUGGCUUCUGAUUGACAUUUAUUUCAGAGAACUGGCUAGUCCUCAGAACACCUUAACUACUCGCUGCAGAAAAAAAAAGACGCAAAAAAUGGAAAAUAAUAUGUUAGAUGUCCCAUAAUUAAGGAACAGGAGAACAUUAUAGCAAGAAUGAGCAUGCAGGUAUAAGAACUUACACAUUAUUGCGGCAAGAAGCAACUUCUUUCUCAAAGUCAAUAUCAUCAUCUUCAUCUAUUGUUACACUACAUCGAAAAUGCUUGCUACAAAAGAUGAAAAAUGAAAUGUUACACUUCCCAAAAUCAAGAAUGAGCAUGCAAGUAUAACAACUUACACAAUAUUGGAAGGAUUCGAAUCAAUCACAAUGACAGCAUCAAGAACUUUUGUUGAAUUGGUGUAAUUUGACUUACUAAAGCUAUUAUCCAGAUUAUUAUCGAGUUUACUAUAAUGAUGAGUUAAAUAUUGUUGUAAAUCAAGGAAGAAGAUGUACUUACUAAAGAUUACGAGUAUGGACCUCGAUAGAGCUUCCAUAGUUGUCUUGAAUGUCCUGUUGAAUUUGCUUGGCGGAAUUCCCAACAGAUUGUUGACAGUAACUUAUAUCAAUAAGAGCUAGUGUGGUUAUAUCUGCAAAAUCUCGAGGGAUUGAAUCCAAAUAAUAGCAACUUCUAAGAAAAAGUCGUUCAAGGUACGGAAAGUGAUCACUACUAGCUCUCCAGUACCGAAUGCAUACUUCAUGCAGAAACAAGAACUUCAAGUGAGGAAACCCUUCCUCAACUACUUCCCACUCCUCGCCUAUGAAGGAUUUCCAUGAUAGUUUAAGGACCUCGAGUUUGGGUAAUUUACCAACAAUGCUCAAAUCCUUCCAUGCCAAAAAGAAUUCUCCGCUAAAAGUUAAACUCUUAAGGUUUUGUGGAAAAGCAUCCGGAGGAGGUAAGCGUAAAGUUGAAACAUCAGUUGGAGGUGCAGUUGCCCUGAAAGGUAAGAGUAAACUUGUAUAAAGUUGAACAACUAGCCACAUGAGUCCUACAUGACACAAUACACAUAAGACACCAACUAUUUCCAUCACAUUUCCAGCUAGGUCCACUAACAGGAUAAAGUAGAAAGAUGUGAGGUCACUAACCUUAUCAUCAUGUAGACAAAAGAAGAGACCAAAGUUAAAAAAAAAAAAGACAGGAAAAAGUAGAAAAAUUUGUGAUCAUACAUUAUUAGACCCUACACUAAUCUCUUUAGAAAAAUAAGUUUCAAUAAAGGAGUUCAAGCUGUAUAUUGAUAACGUCCAAUUCAAAUUCAAGUGUAGUACGGUCUAGCAAUAAUAAACUCAACAAAAGUUGGGGUCGAGGAGUACACUUGUGUCAAGGUGACAGAGAGUGUUCUGGCCUAUACAGUAUGUAUGUAUGUACAUAAAAUUUGGAGUAUCUAAAGAACCACUGACAAAUGGCUAUACGAAAGAUCAUAUACAAUUAAAUUACAAGCCAUUUGCAAUCAUCCUGCCACCUUAUGCAGAAAAAAUGAAAAUUCUGAUUUGACAUUUAUUUCAGAGAACUGGCUAGUCCUCAGAACACCUUAACUACUCGCUGCAGAGAAAAAAAAAAGACACAAAAAAUGGAAAAUAAUAUGUUAGAUGUCCCAUAAUUAAGGAACAAGAGAACAUUAUAGCAAGAAUGAGCAUGCAGGUAUAAGAACUUACACAUUAUUGCGGCAAGAAGCAACUUCUUUCUCAAAGUCAUCUUCAUCUGUUGUUAUAUCGAAAAUGCUUUCUACAAAAGAUGAAAAAUGAAAUGUUACACUUCCCAAAAUCAAGAAUGAACAUGCAAGUAUAACAAGUUACACAAUAUUGGAAGGAUUCAAAUCAAACACAAUGACAGCAUCAAGAACUUUUGUUGAAUUGGUGCAAUUGGACUUACUAAAGCUAUUAUCCAGAUUAUUAUCGAGUUUACUAUGAUGAUGAGUUAAAUAUUGUUGUAAAUCAAGGAAGAAGAUGUCUUACAAAAGAUGACGAGUAUGGACCUCGAUAGAGCUUCCAUAGUUGUCUUGAAUGUCCUGUUGAAUUUGCUUGGCGGAUUUCCCAACAGAUUGUCGACAGCUACUUAUAUCAAUAAGAGCUAGUGUGGUUAUAUCUGCAAAAUCUGGAGGGAUUGAAUCCAAAUCAUAGCAAUUUCUAAGAAAAAGUCGUUCAAGGUACGGAAAGUGAUCACUACUAGCUCUCCAGUACCGAAUGUAUAUGUUAUCCAGAAACAAGAACUUCAAGUGAGGAAACCCUUCCUCAACUACUUCCCACUCCUCGCCUAUGACGGCAUUGUCUGAUAGUUUAAGGACCUCGAGUUCGGGUAAUUUACCAACAAUGCUCAAAUCCUUCGAUGCCAAAAAGAAUUCUCCGCUAAAAGUUAAACUCUUAAGGUUUUGUGGAAAAGCAUCCGGAGGAGGUAAGAGUAAAGUUGGAACAUCAGCUGGAGGUGCAGCUUUCCCGAAUUGUGUCUUUUUGUACAAUAAUUUCGUCUGAAACCUCAGAGGAUCUUGCGGAGUAGAACCUGAAGGUGCAGUGCUUUCUAGAACGCAAGCAGCACCUGGAUAAUAAACACGAAAUGCCAAUUUCUCGAGCUGAUAUAAGUAGCGAAAAUCAUACAGGUCCUUGUGAUUGCGAAAGUCCUCUUGGACGCCAAAUACUUUCAACUUCUUUAAAUUGGGAAAUAGUCUAAAAAAAGACCCUGUACAAUUCCGAGGAUUCAAUUGAUUGAGACAUUGCAAACUUUUCAAAACCAAUCUGUUCUCUGUAGGCUCAUGACUCCGCAAGUAAUUCCAGCCCAUACGCAGCUUCCUCAAUUGUGGCAUCGUCAAAAUUUCCGAUGGUAAUAUGAAAGGAUAACUAUCGGUAAAUGGAAGGUAAAGUUUAAAAGUUUGCAGAUAGCAUAGGCAUGAUAUCGAUAGAGGAAUGUCUAUUAUUGAUGAGGGAACAGCUUCUAUCGAUCCUCGAUACUGCAGUAAGCAAGGAUUAAAACACAAAGAUAGGUAUCUCAAAUGAAUUAGAGAAAGUACUCCACUGGGAAAAAUUGGGCAUGGAGUCCAACCAAGAUCUAGUACUCUUACUAGCUUGAAAGACAAUUCCAGUGUGAUGCAAUUGAAUCCACGCAACAUGAUAAUAGAAUGAGCCUCACUGUUACGACACCAAGCCAAUUCUUCCUCCUUAUAGAUACUGAUCCGACUUCGCUUCUUAAAGGAACACUGCAUGGAUUGUGCACAUGAAUUUUGAUCACUCUUUCCUCUGAUAACAUUCACAAAAUUCAUGUUUCGAGCUUCCCUCAAACAGAGUUCACGGGUCACAUCAUGCAUUCCACAGCUCUGUAUUUCCCCAUCAAAACUCAAUUUGUGGAUAGAAAUUAGACUUCUAUCUACAAGUUCGUUUAUACAUGUUUCUGCCACCUCUUCUAUGCUUUUUCCCUCUUCUUCAUUCAAAAACCCCUCUACGGCCAAUAACUCAACAAGUUUAUUUACAAAAAUCCGUUCAUCCUCUGCGAAAAUUGCAAAAUACAGAAAACACGGUUUUAGGUGAGAAGGCAAGUGAUGGUAACUCAAAGCCAACACUCUCAUGCAUUGUGCUUCAGGAUCUGUGCUUACCACCGAACUUACAUUCUCCGCAAUUCUUUGCCACUCAUCUAAUCUUUGACCGAUUUUGGAGAGAAGUCCAGCAGUCACAGUAAUUGCUAGAGGUAAUCCUCCACAUUUUAAUGCAAUUUGUUUCCCAAUAUUUUCAAAUUCAGGAGAAUAAGAACCUUCUUUUUCAAAGAUCUUUUUGUGUAGUAAAUUCCAACUUUCGUCAAAAUUCAUGAGGCGCAUGUGAUGAGGAGGCUUACCUGAACUAGCAUAUUCAGCCACUUCCACAUUCCGAGUAGUCAGGAGUAUUUUGCUUCCAUUAAUACAGUCCAUAUGUCAUCAAUGACUACCAAGUAUCUCCUGCCUUUCAGAUGCUUUUGCAGUCGGUCCGCUAGUUGAUUCUCAGGUUCAUCACUUAUCGAAGAAAGAAGGCCUAGGAUUACAUUUCUCACACAAUACUCCUGCGAAACAGUUACUUUUGCACGAAUAUCAAAUCGAGACAUAAUGUAAGGAUCACUAUAGAGUUUUGCAGCCAAAGUUGUUUUCCCGAUGCCUCCCAUCCCUACGAUUGAGACAACUUCUAGUUCCCUUCCUCCUCUAGCAAGUUGAUCCAGCAUCAUCUCAAAUUCAUUUUCACGGCCAACCAUUAUAUUCUCGGGCUGCUCAACAUCAUGUUCAGGUAAACUGACAAGUGAGCUAGUUUGUGGUUUUAGAUCUUUCAUGCUGUCCGAUGCUGCCAUCCACUGUUUCACGGUGGAAGCAAUGCAUUCUAGUGCUUGUUCCAAGACGAAAAAAAUCUCCCACAUAGCCCUGCUUCUUUCCUCCAAAU
Molecule: long non-coding RNA, 77199 nt
Filed under: Solanum tuberosum (potato)
Lineage: Eukaryota; Viridiplantae; Streptophyta; Magnoliopsida; Solanales; Solanaceae
Description: long non-coding RNA (STUB_LNC011107)
Rfam family: tRNA (bases 20963-21035)
Source: RNAcentral